CGUCUCUUCGGUGACCUCCUCCGGGUGGAUCCGAGUGGUUUCCUCAAUGCCCGAGUACAUCCACACAGGAUGAUCGCGGGCUUGGAGUGGCUGGACGCGUCGACUGAGAAACACUUCUAGAAAGUCCAUACCAGUCACGCCGUCCCGAACUAAUUGGACCACUCGCUCCAUCAGCAUGUUCACCUAUGCUCUCUCUGCUAGAGUUACUUUCAAAGAAGUGGGUGAUACGUCUCCAACAUAUCUAUAAUUUUUGAUUGCUCCAUGCUAUGUUAUCUACUGUUUUGGGCAAUAUUGGGCUUUAUUAUCCACUUUUAUAUUAUUUUUGGGACUAACCUAUUAACCAGAGGCCCAGCCCAGAAUUGUUGUUUUUUUGCCUAUUUCAGUGUUUCGAAGAAAAGGAAUAUCAAACGGAGUCGAAACGGAACGAAAUCAACUGGAGAAGUUACUUUUGGAAGGAAAGCUACCGGAUGGACUUGGACCCCACAUCAGGAGCCAAGGGAGGUGCUCACGAGGGUGGGGGGCGUGCCCCCUGCCUUGUGGGGCCCCCGAAGCUCCACCGACAUACUUCCUGCACCCAUAUAUACUCACGUACCCUAAAACUUCCGAGGAGACAAUAGAUCGGGACUUCCGCUGCCAAAAGCCUCCGUAGCCACCAAAAACCAAUCUAGACCCGUUCCGGCACCCUGCCGGAGGGGGGAAUCCCUCUCCGGUGGCCAUCUUCAUCAUCCCGGUGCUCUCCAUGACGAGGAGAGAGUAGUUCUCCCUCGGGGCUGAGGGUAUGUACCAGUAGCUAUGUGUUUGAUCUCUCUCUCUCUCUCUCUCGUGUUCUUGAGGUGGUACGAUCUUAAUGUAUCGCGAGCUUUCUAUUAUAUUUGGAUCCUAUGAUNNNNNNNNNNNNNNNNNNNNNNNNNNNNNNNNNNNNNNNNNNNNNNNNNNNNNNNNNNNNNNNNNNNNNNNNNNNNNNNNNNNNNNNNNNNNNNNNNNNNNNNNNNNNNNNNNNNNNNNNNNNNNNNNNNNNNNNNNNNNNNNNNNNNNNNNNNNNNNNNNNNNNNNNNNNNNNNNNNNNNNNNNNNNNNNNNNAUUGAGUUUUCCCUUUGAAGUUAUCUUAUCGGAUUGAGUCUUUAAAGAUUCGAGAACACUUGAUGUAUGUCUUGUCGUGCGUAUCUGUGGUGACAAUGGGAUAUCACGUGAUUCACUUGAUGUAUGUUCUGGUGAUCAACUUGCGGGUUCCGCCCAUGAACCUAUGCAUAGGGGUUGGCACACGUUUCAUCAUGAUUCUCUGGUAGAAACUUUGGGGCACUCUUUGAGGUUCUAUGUGUUGGUUGAAUAGAUGAAUCUGAGAUUGUGUGAUGCAUAUCAUAUAAUCAUACCCACGGAUACUUGAGGUGACAUAGGAGUAUCUUGUGUCUUAAGGUGUUAUUCUAGUACGAACUCUAGGGCUGUUUGUGACACUUAUAGGAAUAGCCCAACGGAUUGAUUGGAAAGAAUAACUUUGAGGUGGUUUCGUACCCUACCAUAAUCUCUUUGUCCGUUCUCCGCUAUUAGUGACUUUAGAGUGACUCUUUGUUGCAUGUUGAGGGAUAGUUAUAUGAUCCAAUUAUGUUAUUAUUGUUGAGGGAACUUACACUAGCGAAAGUAUGAACCCUAGGCCUUGUUGUUGUAAAUAUGCCCUAGAGGCAAUAAUAAAUUAGUUAUUAUUAUAUUAUAUUUCAUUGUUCAUGAUAAUCAUUUAUUAUCCAUGCUAGAAUUGUAUUGACAGGAAACACAGAUACAUGUGUGGAUACAUAGACAACACCAUGUCCCUAGUAAGCCUCUAGUUGACUAGCUCGUUGAUUAAAUAGAUGGUUAUGGUUUUGACCAUGGACAUUGGAUGUCGUUGAUAACGGGAUCACAUCAUUAGGAGAAUGAUGUGAUGGACAAGACCCAAUCCUAAGCCUAGCACAAGAUCAUGUAGUUCGUAUGCUAAAGCUUUUCUAAUGUCAAGUAUCAUUUCCUUAGACCAUGAGAUUGUGCAACUCUCGGAUACCGUAGGAGUGCUUUGGGUGUGCCAACCGUCACAACGUAACUGGGUGGCUAUAAAGGUGCACUACGGGUAUCUUCGAAAGUGUCUGUUGGGUUGGCACGAAUCGAGACUGGGAUUUGUCACUCCGUGUAACGGAGAGGUAUCUCUGGGCCCACUCGGUAGGACAUCAUCAUAAUGUGCACAAUGUCACCAAGGAGUUGAUCACGGGAUGAUGUGUUACGGAACGAGUAAAGAGACUUGCCGGUAAUGAGAUUGAACAAGGUAUCGGGAUACCGACGAUCGAAUCUCGGGCAAGUAUCGUACCGAUAGACAAAGGGAAUUGUAUACGGGAUUGAUUGAAUCCUUGACAUCGUGGUUCAUCCGAUGAUAUCAUCGUGGAGCAUGUGGGAGCCAACAUGGGUAUCCAGAUCCCGUUGUUGGUUAUUGACCGGAGAGUUGUCUCGGCCAUGUCUGCAUGACUCCCGAGCCCGUAGGGUCUACACACUUAAGGUUCGAUGAUGCUAGGGUUAUAGGGAAUAGAUGUACGUGGUUACCAAAUGUUGUUCGGAGUCCCGGAUGAGAUCCCGGACGUCACAAGGAGUUCUAGAAUGGUCCGGAGGUAAAGAUUUAUAUAUGGGAAGUCAUCAUACGGUCACCGAAAUAAUUCGAGGGGUUACCGGUAUUGUACCGGGACCACGGAAGGGGUUCCGGGGGUCCACCGGGAGGGUCCACCUGCCCCGGAGGGCCCUAUGGCUGUGUGUGGAGAGGGACCAGCCCCUUAGUGGUCUGGGCGCCUCCCCCUAGGGCCCAUGCGCCUAGGGUUUGGGGAACCCUAAAGGGGGGGCGCCCCCCUUGCCUUGGGGGGCAAGGCAACCCCCCUGGCCGCCGCCCCCUCCUCGGAUUGGAUCUGAGGGGGCCGGCCCCCCUCUCCCUUGCCCCUAUAUAUAUGUGGGGGGUGGGAGGGCAGCCGCACCCAAGUUCUGGCGUAGCCCUCCCCCUCUCCCAAGUCCUCCUCCUCUCCCGCGGUGCUUGGCGAAGCCCUGCAGGAUUGCCAUGCUCCUCCUUCACCACCACGCCGUCGUGCUGCUGCUGGAUGGAGUCUUCCCCAACCUCUCCUUCUCCCCUUGCUGGAUCAAGGCGUGGGAGACGUCACCGGGCUGCACGUGUGUUGAACGCGGAGGCGCUGUUGUUCGGCGCUUAGAUCGGAAUCAACCGCGAUCUGAAUCGCUGCAAGUACGACUCCUUCAUCUGCGUUCUUGCAACGCUUCGGCUUAGCGAUCUACAGGGGUAUGUAGAUGCACUCCCCUUCCCCUCGUUGCUAGAUUACUCCAUAGAUUGAUCUUGGUGAUGCGUAGAAAAUUUUAAAUUUCUGCUACGAUCCCUAAUAGUGGCAUCAUGAGCUAGGUCUAUGCGUAGUUUCUAUGCACGAGUAGAACACAAGUUGUUGUGGGCAUCGAUUUUGUCAAUUUACUUGUCGUUACUAGUCUUAUCUUGAUUCGGCGGCAUCAUGGGAUGAAGCGGCCUAGACCGACCUUACACGUACUCUUACGUGAGACAGGUUCCACCGACUGACAUGCACUAGUUUCAUAAGGUGGCUAGCGGGUGUCUGUCUCUCCCACUUUAGUCGGAUCGGAUUCGAUGAAAAGGGUCCUUAUGAAGGGUAAAUAGAAAUUGGCAUAUCACGUUGUGGUUUUGGCGUAGGUAAGAAACGUUCUUGCUAGAAACCUAUAGCAGCCACAUAAAAAUUUGCAACAACAAUUAGAGGACGUCUAACUUGUUUUUGCAGCAUAUGCCUUGUGAUGUGAUAUGGUCAAAAGGAUGUGAUGAAUGAUAUAUGUGAUGUAUGAGAUUGAUCAUGUUCUUGUAAUAGGAAUCACGACUUGCAUGUCGAUGAGUAUGACAACCGGCAGGAGCCAUAGGAGUUGUCUUAAUUUAUUUAUGACCUGCGUGUCAACUUCAACAUCAUGUAAUUACUUUACUUUAUUGCUAAACCGUUAGCCAUAGUAGUAGAAGUAAUAGUUGACGAGACGACUUCAUGAAGACAUGAUGAUGGAGAUCAUGGUGUCAUGCCGGUGACGAUGAUGAUCAUGGUGCCCCGAAGUUGGAGAUCAAAAGGAGCAAAAUGAUAUUGGCCAUAUCAUGUCACUAUUUGAUUGCAUGUGAUGUUUAUCAUGUUUUACAUCUUAUUUGCUUAGAACGACGGUAGCUUAAAUAAGAUGAUCCCUCGCAAUAAUUUCAAGAAAGUGUUCCCCCUAACUGUGCACCAUUGUGAAGGUUCGUUGUUUCGAAGCACCACGUGAUGAUCGGGUGUGAUAGAUUCUAACGUUCGGAUACAACGGGUGUAAGCCAGAUUUACACACGCAAUACACUUAGGUUGACUUGACGAGCCUAGCAUGUACAAACAUGGCCUCGGAACACGGAAAACCGAAAGGUCGAGCAUGAGUCUUAUAGAAGAUACGAUCAACAUGAAGAUGUUCACCGAUGAUGACUAGUCUGUCUCACGUGAUGAUCGGACAUGGCCUAGUUGACUCGGAUCAUGUAUCACUUAGAUGACUAGAGGGAUGUCUAUCUGAGUGGGAGUUCAUUAAAUAAUUUGAUUAGAUGAACUUAAUUAUCAUGAACAUAGUCUAAAUUGUCUUUGCAAAUAUGUUGUAGAUAAAUAGCUCAUGUUGUAGCUCCCUGUUUCAAUAUGUUCCUAGAGAAAGACUUAGUUCAAAGAUAUGGUAAGCAAUGAUGCGGACUGGGUCCAUUGUCCGAGGAGUGUCCUCACUGCUACACAGAAGGCUUACGUCUUUGAUGCACCGCUCGAUGUGCAAACCCCUACAACGUCGUCUGUGGAUGUUGUGAACACCUGAUAGACACAUCCUGAUGACUACUUGAUAGUUUAGUGCACCAUACUUUACGGCUUAGAAUCGGGAUUCCAAUGACGUUUUGAAUGCCAUAAGACAUAUGAGAUGUUCCAAGAGCUGAAAUUGGGAUUUCAGGCUCAUGCCCAUGUUGAGAGGUAUGAGACCUCUGACAAGUUCUUUUGCCAACAAGAUGGAGGAGAAUAGCUCAGCUAGUGAGCAUGUGCUCAGAAUGUCUGGGUGCUACAAUCACUUAAAUCAAGUGGGAGUUAAACUUCCAGAUAAGAUAGUGAUUGAUAGAGUUCUCUAGCCACUAUCACUAAGCUACUAGAUCUUCAUGAUGAACUAUGACAUGCAAGGAAUGGAGUUGAUCCCGGAGCUGUUCGCGGUGCUUAAGACCGCAAAAGGUAGAAAUCAAGAAGGAGCAUCAAGUGUUGAUGGUUUAACAAGACCACUGGUUUCAAGAAGGGCAAGGGCUAGAAGGGAAACUUCAUGGAUGGCAAACCAGUUGCCGCUCUAGUGAAGGAACCCAAGGUUGAACCCAAACCCGAGACUAAGUGCUUCUAUUGUAAGGGGAACGGUUACUGGUAGCGGAAUUACCCCAAAUGCAUGGUAGAUAAGAAGGCUGGCAACUUCAACAAAGUAUAUACGUGUUAUUAAUGUGUGUACCUCACUAGUACUCCUGGUGGCACCUGGGUAUUGGAUACCGGUUCAGUUGCUAUUAUUGGUGACUUGAAGCAAAAGCUACGGACUAAACGGAGACUGGCUAAGGGCGAGGUGACGAUGUGUGUUGGAAGUGUUUCCAAAGUUGAUGAGAUCACCAUCGCACACUCCAUCUGCCUUCGGGAUUAGUAUUGAACCUAGUUAAAUGUUAUCAGGUGUCUACGUUGAGCAUGAAUAUGAUUAGAUCAUGUUCAUUGCAAUACAGUUAUUCAUUUAAGUUAGAGAAUAAUGGUUAUUCUGUUUACAUGAAUAAUACCUUUCAUGGUCAUGCACCCUAUGUGAAUGGUUCAGUGAAUCUCGGUCGUGGUAAUACACAUGUUCACGCCAAAAGAUGUAGAUAGUACCACUUUCUUGUGGCACUGCCGCUUAGGUCAUAUUGGCGUAAGAUGCAUGAAGAAACUCUGUGUCGAUGGAUGUUUGGAGUCACUUGAUUUUGAAUCGCUUGACACAUGCGAGCCAUGCCUCAUGGGCAGGAUGACUAAGACCCCGUUUUCAGGUACAAUGAAACGGGCAAGUGACUUGUUGGAAAUCAUACAUGCUGAUGCGUGUGAUCCAAUGAGAAUUGAAGCGUGCGGUGGAUAUCCCUAUUUUCUCAUCUUCACUAACGAUUUGAGUAGAUAUAGGUAUAUUUACUUAAUGAAGCACAAGUCUAAAACAUUUGAAAAGUUCAAGCGAUUUCAGAGUGAAGUUAAGAACCAUCAUAACAAGAAGAUCAAAUUCCUACGAUCUGAUCGAUGAGAAUUUCUGAGUUAUGAGUUUGGCAAUCACUUAAGACAUUGUGGAAUUGUUUCAUAGUUGAAGCCACCUGGAACACCACAGGGUAAUGGUGUGUCCGGACGUCGUAAUCGAACCUUAUGAGAUAUGGUGCGAUCUAUGAUGUCUCUUACCGAUCUACCGUUUUCAUUUUGAGGAUAUGCAUUAGAGACAGCUGCAUUCACUUUAGAUAGGACACCAUCUAAGUCCGUUGAGACGACGUCGUAUGAAUAUGGUUUGGCAAGAAACCAAAGUUUUCGUUUCUCAAUGUUUGGGGCUGCGAUGCUUAAGGCUUCAGCUGGAGAAGCUCGAACCCAAAAGCGGACAAACACAUCUUCAUAGGAUACCCAAAGGUGACAGUUGGGUAUACCUUCUAUCUUAGAUCCGAGGGCAAAUUGUUUGCCGCUAAGAACGGGUCCUUUCUCGAGAAGGAGUUUCUCUUGAAAGAAUUGAGUGGGAGUAAGAUAGAACUUGAUGAGGUUGUCGAACCUUUACUUCAACCAGAGAGUGAUGCAACACAGAAAGAUGUUUUCUGUGGCGCCUACGUCUGUUGAAUAGGAAGUUAAUGAUAGUGAUCAUGAAGCUUCAGAUCAAGUUGCUAUCGAACCUUGUAGGUCGACAAGGAUAUGUACUACUCCUGAGUGGUACGGUAAUCCUAUCUUAGAUAUCAUGUUGUUAGACAACAAUGAACCUACGAGCUAUGGAGAAGCAAUGGUGGGCCCGUAUUCCGACAAAUGGUUAGAAGCCAUGAAAUCCGAGAUAGGAUCCAUGUAUCAGAACAAAGUAUGGACUUUGGUGGACUUGCCCGAUGAUCGGCAAGCCAUUGAGAUAAAUGGAUCUUUAAGAAGAAGACGGACGUGGGCGGUAAUGUUACCGUCUAUGAAGCUCGACUUGUGGGAAGAGUCUUUUCACAAGUUCAAGGAGUUGACUACGAUGAGAAUUUCUCACCCGUAGCGAUGCUUAAGUCCGUCGGAAUCAUGUUAGCAUUAGCUGUAUUUUUCGAUUAUGAAAUCUGACAGAUGGAUGUCAAAAACAAGUUUUCUUACCAGUUUUCGUAAGAAAGAGUUGUAUGUGAUACAAUCAAAGUUUUGUCGAUCCUAAGGAUGCUAAAAGGUAUGCUGGCUCCAGCGAUCCUUCUAUGGACUAGAGCAAGCAUCUCGGAGUCAGAAUAUAUGAUUUGAUGGAGUGAUCAAAGCUUUUAGGUUUAUACAAUGUUUUCUAGAAACUUGUAUUUACAAGAAAGUGAGUGGGAGCACUACAACAUUUCUGAUAAGUAUAUGUGGAUGACAUAUUGUUGAUCCGAAAUAAUGUAGAAUUUCUGGAAAGCAUAAACGGUUGUUUGAAGAGUGAUUUUCAAAGGAAGACCUGGAUGAAGCCGCUUACAUAUUGGGCAUCAAGAUCUAUAGAGAUAGAUCAAGAUGCCUGAUGAUACUUUCAAAGAACGCACACCUUGACAUGAUUUUGAAGGAGUUCAAAAUAGAUCAGUUAAAGAAGGGAUUCUUACCUAAGUUGUAAGGUGUGAAGUUGAGUAAGACUCAAAGCUUGACCACGGCAGAAGAAAGAGGAAGGACGAAGGUCGUCCCCUAUGCUUUUGUCAUAGGCUCUAUACGGUAUUCCAUGCUGAGUACCGCACCUGAUGUGUGCCUUGCCACAUGUCUGGCAAGAGGGUGCAAAGGUGAUCUAGGAGUGGAUCACCAGAUAGCGGUCAAAAUUAUCCUUAGAGGAAUAAGGAAAUGUUUCUCGGUUAUGGAGGUGAUAAAGAGUUCGACGUAAAGAGUUACAUCGAUGCAAGCUUAACACCUAUCCGGAUAGCUCUGAGUAGAGAUACCGGAUACGUAUAAUGGAGCAACAGUUUGGAAUAGCUCCAAGUGGAAUGUGGUAGCAGCAUCUACAAUAUGACAUAAAGUUUUGCAAAAUACAUAGGGAUCUGAAUAUUGCAGACCCGUUGACUACAACCUCUCUCACAAGCAUAACAUGAUCAAACCCAGAACUCAUUGAGUGUUAAUCACAUAGUGAUGUGAACUAGAUUAUUGACUCUAGUCUUUGGAUGUUGGUCACAUGGCGAUGUGACAUGUGAGUGUUAAUCACAUGGCGAUGUGAACUAGAUUAUUGACUCUAGUGCAAGUGGGAGACUGUUGGAAAUAUGCCCUAGAGGCAAUGAUAAAUUAGUUAUUAUUAUAUUAUAUUUCAUUGUUCAUGAUAAUCGUUUAUUAUCCAUGCUAGAAUUGUAUUAAUAGGAAACUCAGAUACAUGCGUGGAUACAUAGACAACACCAUGUCCCUAGUAAGCCUCUAGUUGACUAGCUCGUUGACCAAUAGAUGGUUACGGUUUCCUGACCAUGGACAUUGGAUGCGUUGAUAACGGGAUCACAUCAUUAGGAGAAUGAUGUGAUGGACAAGACCCAAUCCUAAGACUAGCACAAGAUCGUGUAGUUCGUAUGCCAAAGCUUUUCUAAUGUCAAGUAUCAUUUCCUUAGACCAUGAGAUUGUGCAACUCCCGGAUACCGUAGGAGUGCUUUGGGUGUGCCAAACGUCACAACGUAACUGGGUGUCUAUAAAGGUGCACUACGGGUAUCUCCGAAAGUGUCUGUUGGGUUGGCACGAAUCGAGACUGGGAUUUGUCACUCCGUGUAACGGAGAGGUAUCUCUGGGCCCACUCGGUAGGACAUCAUCAUAAUGUGCACAAUGUGACCAAGGAGUUGAUCACGGGAUGAUGUGUUACGAAAUGAGUAAAGAGACUUGCUGGUAACGAGAUUGAACAAGGUAUCGGGAUACCGACGAUCGAAUCUCGGGCAAGUGUCGUACCGAUAGACAAAGGGAAUUGUAUACGGGAUUGAUUGAAUCCUUGACAUCGUGGUUCAUCCGAUGAGAUCAUUGUGGAGCAUGUGGGAGCCAACAUGGGUAUCCAGAUCCCGCUGUUGGUUAUUGACCGGAGAGUUGUCUCGGCCAUGUCUGCAUGACUCCCGAGCCCGUAGGGUCUACACACUUAAGGUUCGAUGACGCUAGGGUUAUAGGGAAUAGAUGUAUGUGGUUACUGAAUGUUGUUCGGAGUCCCGGAUGAGAUCUCGGACGUCACGAGGAGUUUCGGAAUGGUCCGGAGGUAAAGAUUUAUAUAUGGGAAGUCAUCAUACGGUCACCAGAAUAAUUCGGGGGGUUACCGGUAUUGUACCGGGACCACCGAAGGGGUUCCGGGGGUCCACCGGGAGGGUCCACCUGCCCGGGAGGGCCCAAUGGGCUGUGUGUGGAGAGGGACCAGCCCCUUAGUGGGCUGGGCGCCUCCCCCUAGGGCCCAUGCGCCUAGGGUUUGGGGAACCCUAAAGGGGGGCGCAUCCCUUGCCUUGGGGGGCAAGGCAACCCCCCUGGCCGCCGCCCCCUCCUCAGAUUGGAUCUGAGGGGGCCGGGCCCCCUCUCCCUUGCCCCUAUAUAUAUGUGGGGGGUGGGAGGGCAUCUGCACCCAAGUUCUGACGCAGCCCUCCACCUCUCCCAAGUCCUCCUCCUCUCCCGCGGUGCUUGGCGAAGCCCUGCGGGAUUGCCACGCUGCUCCUUCACCACCACGCCGUCGUGCUGCUGCUGGAUGGAGUCUUCCCCAACCUCUCCUUCUCCCCUUGCUGGAUCAAGGCGUGGGAGACGUCACCGGGCUGCACGUGUGUUGAACGCGGAGGCGCCGUUGUUCGGCGCUUAGAUCGGAAUCAACCGCGAUCUGAAUCGCUGCGAGUACGACUCCUUCAUCCGCGUUCUUGCAACGCUUCCGCUUAGCGAUCUACAAGGGUAUGUAGAUGCACUCCCCUUUCCCUCGUUGCUAGAUUACUCCAUAGAUUGAUCUUGGUGAUGCGUAGAAAAUUUUAAAUUUCUGCUACGAUCCCCAACACUUGUUUCCUAUCAUUGCAAUACCGUUUAUGCUCACUUUUACCAUUAGUUACCUUGCUGUUUUUAUAAUUUCAGAUUACAAAAACCUAUAUCGACUAUCCAUAUUGCACUUGUAUCACCAUCUCUUCGCCGAACUAGUGCACCUAUACAAUUUACCAUUGUAUUGGGUGUGUUGGGGACACAAGAGACUCUUUGUUAUUUGGUUGCAGGGUUGCUUGAGAGAGACCAUCUUCAUCCUACGCCUCCUACGGAUUGAUAAACCUUAGGUCAUCCACUUGAGGGAAAUUUGCUACUGUCCUACAAACCCCUGCACUUGGAGGCCCAACAACGUCUACAAGAAGAAGGUUGUGUAGUAGACAUCAGUGGGCUGUUGGACUCGCUCCAUGGAGAAGGGAGUGAGACCGGUCGACUGACCAGGAGUCGGUUGGUCCUUGUAGUAGAACCAGGUCGACUGCCAUCCUCUAACUGACUCGGAAAGGAUCACAACUGGAAAAGCACUUUUACUUCUCAUCAGGAUACCUAGGCCUCCACACAUCUGGAUCACAUGAGUCUUCUCAUCAUUCGGAUUAGCUUUUUUCACGGACUGAAAGGACAAGUGAAGAUGUGUUUGAAGAUACCUAGUGCGGUCGACAGCCCAUGAAAUUUUCACACAUGGAAACGAAUGCAGCAAGGUACGUGAUGGUGUUGGGGGAAAAUGAUGAAGUUGGGCUCCAAAGAAGUUCAGAAAACCCCGAAAGGAAGGAUGGGGAGGCAGAGAAAAUCCACGGUCAACGUGAGUCGCAAGGAGGACGCACUCACCCUCCUACGGUUGUGGCUCGAUCUCAUUGCCAGGAAGCCUCCAAGAUCCAUGGGCAAUCAAACUGUAACACCCUCGAUGUGACUAUAUCUCCCACGUGUCGAGGCACGACUUAGAGUCAUAAACGCAUUGAAGGCAUAUGUCGCAAGUUAGGCAAUCUUCACAACAUCCCAUGUAAUAUAGAUAAUAAAAGGGGAGAUAACAUAGUUGGCUUACACUCGCCACGUCAAUCAAGUACAUAAAUAACACUACAUCAUUCAGACACUCAUGGCCCAACUAUGGCGCCAAAAAUAAAAGAUAACCCAACAUGCGACAUGGUCCCGAUCACCCCCAACUGGGCACCCCUACUAAUCAUCAGGAAAGGAAACAUAGUAUCGUUGAGAGUCCUCGUCGAACUCCCACUUGAGCUCGAGCAUGUCACCUGGAGCGGAAUCAUCAGGCCCUGCAUCUGGUGUAAGAGUAAUCUAUGAGCCACAAGGACUCAGCAAUCUCGCACCCUCGCGAUCAAGACUAUUUAAGCUUAAUAGGUAUGGCAAGGUAAAUAUAUGUGGAGCUACAGCAAGCGACUAGCAUAUGUGGUGUCUAUCCUAUUCGCAACGAGAGCGAGAAGAGGAGGCAAAGCGCGAGCGAGAAACUAGAGAGCAACCUGCGCAAGCAUUACUCCAACACCGUGUCCACUUCUCGGACUCCGCCGAGAAGAGGCCAUCACGGUAACACACUCAGUUGAUUCAUUUUAAUUAAGUUAAGGUUCAAGUUAUCUACAACCGGACAUUAACAAAUUCCCAUCUGCCCAUAACCGCAGGCACGGCUUUCGAAAGUUCAAAUCCCUGCAGGGGAGUCCCAACUUAGCCCAUGACAAGCUCUCAUUGUCAACGAAGGAAUAGACCUCCUCCCGAGACGUUCAGAUCAGACUCAGUAUCUCGGUUCUUCAAGACACUUCGACAGGUUAAAACAAAUCCAGCAACACCACCCGAAUGUGCCGACAAAUCCUGAUAGGAGCUGCACAUAUCUCGUUCUCAGGGCACACUCAGAUGAGACUAGCUACGGGUAAAACCAACCCUCAAGUUGCCCCGAGGUGGCCCCGCAGGCAGCUCAGUCGAACCAACACUCAGAGGAGCACUGGCCCGGGGGGGUUAAAUAAGAUGACCCUCGGGCUCCGGAAACCCAAGGGAAAAAAGGCUAGGUGGCAAAUGGUAAAACCAAGGUUGGGCAUUGCUGGAAAAGAUUUAAUCAAGGUGAACUAUCAAGGGGUUCCCAUUAUAACCCAACCGCGUAAGGAACGCAAAAUCCGGGAACAUAACACCGAUUUGACGGAAACUAGGGCGGCAACAGUGGAACAAAACACUAGGCGGGAGGCCGAGCCUUCCACCCUUUACCAAGUAUAUAGAUGCAUUAAGAUAACAUGGCAAUAUAAUGAUAUCCCAACAAUUAAAUAAAUGUUCCAACAAGGAACGGUCUCCAAUCUUCACCUGCAACUAACAACGCUAUAAGAGGGGCUGAGCAAAGCGGUAACAUAUCCAAUCAACGGUUUGCUAGGACAUGGUGGGUUAGAGGUUUGACAUGUCAAUUUGGGAGGCUUAAAAGCAAGUGGUAGGCAUCUUAGCAUUGGCAUAGCAAAAGAGCGAGCAUCUAGCAAAGCAAAGAUAGUAGUGAUUUCGAGGGUAUGGUCAUCUUGCCUGCAAAGUUGUCAGAGUUGAUUGGAUCCUCAAAAGCAAACUCAACGGGCUCCUCGUUAGCGAACUCAUCUCCCGGCUCUACCCAAAUAAGACAAAAAAAACAACAAGGACACAAUCAACCACGUGCAAAAGCUCAAACAAUAUGAUGCAAAGAUGGUAUGCUAUGCGGGAUGCGAUGCGGGAUGCAUAUGCAAGAUUUGACAAGGAUUGCAUGAACAUGGCCUUAACUUGGGAAUCCAAGUGUGCCACUGGAAAGGUGAGAUGAAAUCGCUUGAGAACGAUAUAAAGAACGCCGGAAUCGGAGUUACUGUUUGGAAAUGGCAAGCGAUUCAAAUAUGACCACGUUCUACGAUUUACAACAAGUAGCCAUCUAAAUGCAAUGAGAUGAAUAUGCUACAGCACCCAAACAUGGCAAAAAUACAUGGCAGGGAUGCAUUCAAGAUUCUUAACAAAAGUCUAGCACUGAGCUACGGCCAAAUCAUCCAUUAACAGGUUCAAACAAGCAUGGCAAAAAUGCAUAUGGUAAACAGAUCUCAGACUUAGUGAAAUUAACACUUGUCUGGAAUUUCAGAUCAGGUAGCACACUUCGGAGCAACAAAACUAUAUGCUACAGGACCUGAACAUGGCAAAGUAAAGCAUGGCAUAGAGCUACUCAAAGAGCUUAACAAAAGUCCCUUAGUGACCUUGAGCCAAAAGGGAUCACAAAACAUAAUUGCAAGCAUGUGAACAUGGCAAAAACAUAAUCAGAUCCCAGACUUAGUAAAAACUGGAGUAUGCUGAAACAAAUAUCAAGUAAGCAUGUUUACGAGCUCGAUGCACUCACUACAGAGCAAGUCAUGACAAGCUAAGCAUACACCCAUCAAGAAUACAGAAAAUUCAAGCUAGACAUAGCAAGAACAAUAGCAUAGCAUGCACGGAUCAACUAAAACACCCUCGGCAAAAUCGCUAACAAGUAGACAAUCUGCCUAGAUUCAUGAAGUAGCAAAAGUAGAGCUCGAUUGACUCAAGCUAGGGUGCUCCAUAAUUGCAAACAAAGACAUGGAUGGAUAGAGCACUACCAGAUUAACAAAACAUCCUUACUGAUUAUCCUCAAAAGAGGCACGGAUCUCUAGGAAACAACAUGAACAUAUGGCCAUAUGAGAUAAACAGCUCAAGGACUUGGUGGAAAUGCUAAGUCCCUGAAAUCAGCAUUACCAAGUGCCUCACUUUGCAAGCUUGUGCUAGUCACCACACACAUCACAAAAAUACAUGGGUUGCACCUCUAGAAAUAUGGCAAAACCCCUAACAAAACAUAUGUAGAACUCAUGGGCAUAUCAUGCACACAAUAAUCAUGGCAAAAAUGACAAAUAUCUAAAUGGAGCAGCAGAUCUGACAAUUAUCUCAAGUAGCACUCUUCUAACAGCAUUUCAGGCAUCAAGAUGAACUCAAAUGAAAAUGAUGCAAUGAGAAGAAAUGAUGUGCUCUCUGAGGCGAACAUUUUGAUAUGCUAUAUGCCCAAAAUAAAGCUACGGAUGCAAAGUUACGGCACGAUGAACAUGGCAAUAUGAACUAGGGUUUCGGGAGAAAGUCAACCGAGAUUUAAAUCUCAGAUCCAGAUCCGGGCUUCACGCGAAACGAGGUUCGCCGGAACUUCGCCGGAAUCAUCGAGGAACUUGCCGGGGCGCCGGAUCCGGGCGGCGAGGGGCCGGAGCGCUUGCCGGAGUGAGGAGGACGGCGAGGCGGCGGCGGGCGCGGGCACCGGCGGGCGGCGGNNNNNNNNNNNNNNNNNNNNNNNNNNNNNNNNNNNNNNNNNNNNNNNNNNNNNNNNNNNNNNNNNNNNNNNNNNNNNNNNNNNNNNNNNNNNNNNNNNNNNNNNNNNNNNNNNNNNNNNNNNNNNNNNNNNNNNNNNNNNNNNNNNNNNNNNNNNNNNNNNNNNNNNNNNNNNNNNNNNNNNNNNNNNNNNNNNNNNNNNNNNNNNNNNNNNNNNNNNNNNNNNNNNNNNNNNNNNNNNNNNNNNNNNNNNNNNNNNNNNNNNNNNNNNNNNNNNNNNNNNNNNNNNNNNNNNNNNNNNNNNNNNNNNNNNNNNNNNNNNNNNNNNNNNNNNNNNNNNNNNNNNNNNNNNNNNNNNNNNNNNNNNNNNNNNNNNNNNNNNNNNNNNNNNNNNNNNNNNNNNNNNNNNNNNNNNNNNNNNNNNNNNNNNNNNNNNNNNNNNNNNNNNNNNNNNNNNNNNNNNNNNNNNNNNNNNNNNNNNNNNNNNNNNNNNNNNNNNNNNNNNNNNNNNNNNNNNNNNNNNNNNNNNNNNNNNNNNNNNNNNNNNNNNNNNNNNNNNNNNNNNNNNNNNNNNNNNNNNNNNNNNNNNNNNNNNNNNNGGCGUGGGGCGCGUCGGCGGCGGCAAUCGACGACAUGGACGGAGCCGGGGGAGAAGAUCCCGGGCGGCGGCGGGCGGCAAUGGGCCUCGGGGGGCCCUCCUGGGCCUCCCGGGCCGGCGGCAACGGGGGAGUGGGGCGGCGGCACGGCCAACCCGCGGGCGACACGUGGCGGCGGCGGGGAUAGCCGGACAUGUCCGUCGGUGGCCAUUUUUGUCCGGCGGCGGCAAAUGAAAUGGAUCUAGGGUUUCGGGGAGGAGAAAGAGAAUUUCGGAGGGGGUUCUUUAAAUAGGCAUAGAGGGAGCUAGGAGAGUCCAAAAGAGGUGCGGUUUUCGGCCACGCGAUCGUGAUCGAACGCUCUAGAUGAUGGAGAAGAUUUUGGAGGGUUCUUUAAAUAGGCAUAGAGGCAGCAAGACAAUGUUCUCAUCAUAAAACCAUCGGAACGAUUCCAAGAUACCCGCGUGAUCCUAAUUUUUUUUUUAUGAAAUUUGAGAAGAGAAGAGUCAAAACUCUACGUCAGGAUGCCUUACCAGAGCGAUGAGGAGACUGGGAAGUAAAAAGAAUUCCUAAACUCUCCGAUAUAUAAUUCCUAAAUGACUCAAAACAUUUUUCUAGACACAACUCGGCCGCUAAAAACGAUCAAGCAAUGGAGCUCCUAAGGUCGGGGAAGGCUCUGAUUACCAACUUGUAACACCCUCGAUGCGACUAUAUCUCCCACGUGUCGAGGCACGACUUAGAGGCAUAAUCGCAUUGAAGGCAUAUGUCGCAAGUUAGGCAAUCUUCACAACAUCCCAUGUAAUAUAGAUAAUAAAAGGGGAGAUAACAUAGUUGGCUUACACUCGCCACGUCAAUCAAGUACAUAAAUAACAUUACAUCAUUCAGACACUCAUGGCCCGACUACGGCGCCAAAAAUAAAAGAUAACUCAACAUGCGACACGGUCCUGAUCACCCCCAACUGGGCACCCCUACUGAUCAUCAGGAAAGGAAACAUAGUAUCGUUGAGAGUCCUCGUCGAACUCCCACUUGAGCUCGAGCAUGUCACCUGGAGCGGAAUCAUCAGGCCCUGCAUCUGGUGUAAGAGUAAUCUAUGAGCCACAAGGACUCAGCAAUCUCGCACCCUCGCGAUCAAGACUAUUUAAGCUUAAUAGGUAUGGCAAGGUAAAUAUAUGUGGAGCUACAGCAAGCGACUAGCAUAUGUGGUGUCUAUCCUGUUCGCAACGAGAGCGAGAAGAGGAGGCAAAGCGCGAGCGAGAAACUAGAGAGCAACCUGCGCAAGCAUUACUCCAACACCGUGUCCACUUCUCGGACUCCGCCGAGAAGAGGCCAUCACGGUAACACACUCAGUUGAUUCAUUUUAAUUAAGUUAAGGUUCAAGUUAUCUACAACCGGACAUUAACAAAUUCCCAUCUGCCCAUAACCGCAGGCACGGCUUUCAAAAGUUCAAAUCCCUGCAGGGGAGUCCCAACUUAGCCCAUGACAAGCUCUCACGGUCAACGAAGGAAUAGACCUCCUCCCGUGACGUUCCGAUCAUACUCGGUAUCUCGGUUCUUCAAGACACUUCGACAGGUUAAAACAAAUCCAGCAACACCGCCCGAAUGUGCCGACAAAUCCCGAUAGGAGCUGCACAUAUCUCGUUCUUAGGGCACACUUAGAUGAGACUAGCUACGGGUAAAACCAACCCUCAAGUUGCCCCGAGGUGGCCCCGCAGGCAGCUCAGUCAGACUAACACUCAGAGGAGCACUGGCCUGGGGGGGGGGGGUUUAAAUAAGAUGACCCUCGGGCUCUGGAAACCCAAGGGAAAAAAGGCUAGGUGGCAAAUGGUAAAACCAAGGUUGGGCAUUGCUGGAAAAGCUUUAAUCAAGGCGAACUAUCAAGGGGUUACCAUUAUAACCCAACCGCGUAAGGAACGCAAAAUCUGGGAACAUGACACCGAUUUGAUGAAAACUAGGGCGGCAAGAGUGGAACAAAACACUAGGCGAGAGGACGAGCCUUCCACCCUUUACCAAGUAUAUAUAUGCAUUAAGAUAACACGACAAUAUAAUGAUAUCCCAACAAUUAAAUAAAUGUUCCAACAAGGAACAGUCUCCAAUCUUCACCUGCAACUAACAACGCUAUAAGAGGGGCUGAGCAAAGCGGUAACAUAGCCAGUCAACGGUUUGCUAGGACAUGGUGGGUUAGAGGUUUGACAUGGCAAUUUGGGAGGCUUUAAAGCAAGUGGUAGGCAUCAUAGCAUUGGCAUAGCAAAAGAGCGAGCAUCUAGCAAAGCAAAGAUAGUAGUGAUUUCGAGGGUAUGGUCAUCUUGCCUGCAAAAUUGUCAGAGUUGACUGGAUCCUCGAAAGCAAACUCAACGGGCUCCUCGUUAGCGAACUCGUCUCCCAGCUCUACCCAAACAAGACAAACAAGCAACAAGGACACAAUCAACCACGUGCAAAAGCUCAAACAAUAUGAUGCAAAGAUGGUAUGCUAUGCGGGAUGCGAUGCGGGAUGCAUAUGCAAGAUUUGACAAGGAAUGAAUGAACCUGGCCUCAACUUAGGAAUCCAAGUGUGCCACUGGAAAGGUGAGAUGAAAUCGCUUGAAAACGAUAUAAAGAACGCCGGAAUCGGAGUUACGGUUUGGAAAUGGCAAGCGAUUCAAAUAUGACCAUGUUCUGCGAUUUACAACAAGUAGCCAUCUAAAUGCAAUGAGAUGAACAUGCUACAGCACCCAAACAUGGCAACAAAAUACACGGAAGGGAUGCAUUCAAUAUGCUUAACAAAACUAUAUCACUGAGCUACGGCCAAAUCAUCCAUUAACAGGUUCAAACAAGCAUGGCAAAAAUGCAUAUGGUAAACAGAUCUCAGACUUAGUGAAAUUAACACUUGUCUGGAAUUUCAGAUCAGGUAGCACACUUCGGAGCAACAAAACUAUAUGCUACAGGACCUGAACAUGGCAAAGUAAAGCAUGGCAUAGAGCUACUCAAAGAGCUUAACAAACGUCCCUUAGUGACCUUGAGUCAAAAGGGAUCAGAAAAUACAAUUGUAAGCAUGUGAACAUGGCAAAAACAUUAUCAGAUCUCAGACUUAGUAAAAACUGGAGCAUGCUGAAACAGAUAUCAAGUAGGCAUGUUUACGAGCUCGAUGCACUCACUAUAGAGCAAGUCAUGACAAGCUAAGCAUACACCCAUCAAGAAUACACAAAAUGCAAGCUAGACAUGACAAGAACAAUAGCAUAGCAUGCACGGAUCAACUAUAACAUCCUCGGCAAAAUCGCUAACAAGUAGACAAUCUGCCCAGAUUCAUGAAGUAGCAAAAGUAGAGCUCGAUUGACUCAAUCUAGGGUGCUCCAUAAUUUCAAACAAAGACAUGGAUGGAUAGAGCAGUACAAGAUUAACAAAACAUCCUUACUGAUCAUCCUCAAAAGAGGCACGGAUCUCUAGGAAACAACAUGAACAUAUGGCCAUAUGAGAUAAACAGCUCAAGGACUUAGUGGAAAUGCUAAGUCCCUGAAAACAGCAUUACCAAGUGCCUCACUUUGCAAGCUUGUGCUAGUCACCACACACAUCACAAAAAUACAUGGGUUGCACCUCUGGAAAGAUGGCAAAACCCCUAACAAAACAUAUGUAGAACUCAUGGGCAUAUCAUGCACACAAUAAUCAUGGCAAAAAUGACAAAUAUCUAAAUGGAGCAGCAGAUCUGACAAUUAUCUCAAGUAGCACUCUUCUAACAGCAUUUCGGGCAUGAAGAUGAACUCAAAUGAAAAUGAUGCAAUGAGAUGAAAUGAUGUGCUCUCUGAGGCGAACAUUUUGAUAUGCCAUAUGCCCAAAACGGAGCUACGGAUGCAAAGUUAUGGCACGAUGAACAUGGCAAUAUGAACUAGGGUUUCGGGAGAAAGUCAACCGAGAUUUAAAUCUCAGAUCCAGAUACGGGCUUCACGCGAAACGAGGUUCGCCGGAACUUCGCCGGAAUCGUCGAGGAACUUUCCGGGGCGCCGGAUCCGGGUGGCGAGGGGCCGGAGCGCUUGCCGGAGCGAGGAGGACGGCGAGNNNNNNNNNNNNNNNNNNNNNNNNNNNNNNNNNNNNNNNNNNNNNNNNNNNNNNNNNNNNNNNNNNNNNNNNNNNNNNNNNNNNNNNNNNNNNNNNNNNNNNNNNNNNNNNNNNNNNNNNNNNNNNNNNNNNNNNNNNNNNNNNNNNNNNNNNNNNNNNNNNNNNNNNNNNNNNNNNNNNNNNNNNNNNNNNNNNNNNNNNNNNNNNNNNNNNNNNNNNNNNNNNNNNNNNNNNNNNNNNNNNNNNNNNNNNNNNNNNNNNNNNNNNNNNNNNNNNNNNNNNNNNNNNNNNNNNNNNNNNNNNNNNNNNNNNNNNNNNNNNNNNNNNNNNNNNNNNNNNNNNNNNNNNNNNNNNNNNNNNNNNNNNNNNNNNNNNNNNNNNNNNNNNNNNNNNNNNNNNNNNNNNNNNNNNNNNNNNNNNNNNNNNNNNNNNNNNNNNNNNNNNNNNNNNNNNNNNNNNNNNNNNNNNNNNNNNNNNNNNNNNNNNNNNNNNNNNNNNNNNNNNNNNNNNNNNNNNNNNNNGCGUCGGCAGCGGUGACUGGCGACGUGGCAGGAGCCGGGGGAGAAGAUCCCGGGUGGCGGCGGGCGACAAUGGGCCUCGGGGGCCCCUCCUGGGCCUCCCGGGCCGGCGGCGACGGGGGAGUGGGGCGGCGGUGCGGCCAACCUGCGGGCGACAUGUGGCGGCGGCAGGGCUAGCCGGACAUGUCCGUCGGUGGCUAUUUUUGUCCGGCGGCGGCGGAUGAAAUGGAUCUAGGGUUUCGGGGGAGGAGAAAGAGAAUUUCGGAGGGGGUUCUUUAAAUAGGCAUAGAGGGAGUUAGGAGAGUCCAAAAGAGGUGCGGUUUUCGGCCACGCGAUCGUGAUCGAACGCUCUAGAUGAUGGAGAAGGUUUUGGAGGGUUUUGGGCCAACUUGGAGGGGUGUUGGGCUGCAACACACACGAGGCCUUUUCGGUCCCUCGGUAACCGUUGGAGUAUCAAACGAAGUCCAAAUGAUACGAAACUUGACAGGCGGUCUACCGGUAGUAAACCAAGGCCGCUUGGCAAGUCUCGAUCCAAUCCGGAAAUGUUUAAUCCCCACACAUGAAAGAAAAGUAGAAAUGACCAUCGGAGGAGAACGAAGCGCCGGAAUGCAAAACGGACAACGGGGAAAAUGCUCGAAUGCAUGAGAUGCACACGUAUGCAAAUGCAAUGCACAUGAUGACAUGAUAUGAGAUGCAUGACAACGAAAAAAACACACGGAGACAAAGACCCAAACCCGGGAAAAUAAAGUAACUUAACGCCGGAAACGGCAAGAGUUGGAAUACAUAUUGGGUAAGUUACAACUAGGGUGUUACAACACUCCACCACUAUGAAAGGAUCUCAUCCUGAGAUCUAGGACUGAAAGAACAUCGGGUACUCAGAACGGAGGUGAUCCUCGCGUUCCCAGGUAGCUUCACGGUCAGAAUGGUGUGACCACUUGACUUUGAGGAAUUUGAUUGACUUGUUACGAGUCUUGCGUUCAGUCUCUUCAAGAAUAGCAACGGGGUGCUCACGAUAAGAGAGAUCUUCUUGGAGCUCAAUGUCCUCGAAGUUGACAGUGCGGUCAGGAGUCUUGAAGCACUUUCGGAGCUGAGAGACAUGGAACACAUCAUGAACAUUUGCAAAGUUUGAAGGAAGCUCUAGUUGAUAGGCAAGAUCGCCUCUCUUGCUGACAAUCUUGAAAGGUCCCACGUAUCUGGGGGCAAGCUUCCCUUUGAUACCGAAGCGACGAGUACCUUUCAUAGGAGAUACGCGGAGGUAAACAUGAUCUUCGAUCUCGAAAGCCAAAUCACGGUGCUUACUGUCAUAGUAGCUCUUCUGACGGGAUUGGGCUGCUUUGAGGUUAUCUCGAAUGACUUUGCACAUUUCCUCUGCCUCUGUGAUUAAGUCAUUUCCGAGAAGCUGACGUUCACCGGUUUCGGACCAGUUGAGUGGGGUACGGCACUUCCUGCCAUACAGAAUUUCAAAUGGGGCCUUGCCCAAAUUUGCUUGAAAACUGUUGUUGUAGGAGAAUUCAGCAUAAGGAAGACAAUCCUCCCACUUCAUGCCGAAGGAGAUCACACAAGCCCUGAGGAUAUCUUCAAGAAUCUGGUUGACAUGCUCGACUUGACCGCUAGUUUGAAGAUGGAAAGUUGUGCUGAAGCGGAUGUUGGUGCCCAUGGCCUUCUGAAAAGAAUCCCAAAACUUGGAGGUAAAGAUGCUGGCACGGUCUGAAGAGAUCACUUGUGGAAUACCGUGCAGAGAGACAAUCCGAGAGGUAUAGAGUUCCGCCAAUUGAUCUGCAAUGAUUGACUCUUUGAUAGGCAGAAAAUGAGCCACUUUAGUGAGUUUGUCGAUGACAACUAAUAUAGCAUCAUUGCCACGCUUGGACUUUGGAAACCCAGUCACGAAGUCCAUCUCAAUGUGGUCAAACUUCCAUUCUGGAAUGGCAAGAGGUUGGAGGAGACCAGUUGGUCUUUGGUGUUCUGCCUUCACUCUUCUGCAGACAUCACACUCAUUCACGAAUUGAGCAAUCUCGCGCUUCAUUCGAGUCCACCAAUAAGCCUGCUUAAGUUCCUGAUACAUCUUCGUACUCCCAGGGUGGAUGGAGAGGAGAGAAUUGUGAGCCUCAUUCAUGAUCACUUUACAAAGGUCACCUUUGGGUACAACAAUACGAUCCUCGAAGAAAAGAGUGUCCUUGUCAUCAAGGCGGUAGCACUUGUACUUGGGUUGACUCUUGGCAAUCCCAAUCUUCACCUUUUUCACCAUAGCAUCAAGAAUCUGGGCUUGGCGAAUCUGGUCUUCCAAGGUAAGAGAGACUUGAAGGUUGGCGAGGAAACCUUAAGGAACAACUUGCAGAUUAAGUUUGCGGAAAGCUUCACAAAGCUCGGGUUGAUAAGGCUUGAGAAUCAGGCUGUUGCAAUAAGCCUUUCUGCUCAAUGCGUCAGCAAUCACAUUGGCCUUGCCUGGAGUAUACUCGAUACUCGGAUUAUACUCUUGAAUCAUUUCGACCCAUCGAGUUUGCCUGAGGUUGAGAUUAGGCUGAGUGAAGAUGUACUUGAGACUCUUGUGGUCAGUGAAGAUGUCCACUUUUCUUCCCAAUAAGAGAUGUCUCCAAGUCAAAAGAGCAUGCACAACUGCCGCCAACUCGAGAUCAUGAGUGGGGUAGUUUUUUUCAUUGGGCUUCAACUGGUGAGAGGUAUAAGCAACAACUUUCUUCUCUUGCAUCAACACUGCGCCAAGACCUUGGAGAGAGGCAUCACAAAAGACCUCGUACGACUUGGAUUCAUCAGGCGGAGUUAGAACUAGAGCAGUGAUCAAUUUCUCUUUCAAAGUGUUGAAAGCAAUGUCACACUCCGGAGACCAAACGUACUUGACGUGCUUCUGAAGAAGAUUUGAGAGAGGCUUCGCGAUCUUAGAAAAGUUUUCAACGAAUCUUCGACAAUAGCUUGCGAGACCGAGGAAGCUACGGAGUUGCUUCACGUUCUGAGGAGGUUCCCAAUUCACAAUUGCAGACACCUUCUCAGGAUUCACGGCAAUGCCCUUGGCAGAGAUGAUAUGACCAAGAUAAAGAACCUCAUCGAGCCAAAAUUCGCACUUGGAGAACUUGGCGUAGAACUUGUGUUCCCUCAGCUUAUCGAGUACCAAACGCAAGUGCUUGGCAUGAUCUUCCUUGUUCUUCGAGAAAACCAGAAUGUCGUCGAGAUAGACCAAAACGAAGUCAUUGGUGUAGGCGUUGAAGAUGAAGUUCAUCAUGCGAGAGAACGUCGGAGGAGCGUUGACGAGGCCAAAAGACAUGACAGUGUACUCAUAUGAACCAUAGCUUGUCCUGAAAGCCGUCUUGGGAAUAUCUUGCUCACGGAUUCGAAUCUGAUGAUAACCCAUACGGAGAUCAAGCUUGGAGAAUACUUGGGCACCUUUGAGUUGUUCGAAUAGCUCAUUGAUGUUGGGAAGUGGGUAUUUGUUCUUGAUGGUCUUCUUGUUCAAUGGACGGUAAUCAACACAAAGUCGGUCCGUUCCAUCCUUCUUCUUCACAAAAAGAACACCACAACCCCACGGAGAAGAACUAGGCCGGAUGAGACCCAUUCUCUCUUGAAUAUCGAGUUGCUUCUUCAGCUCCUUCAACUCUUCAGGUCCGAGCUUGUAAGGACGCUUGCACACUGGUUCCGUGCCAGGCUCAAGAUUGAUGACAAAUUCAACUGGCCGGUGCGGAGGCAUUCCUGGAAGCUCUUCAGGAAAGACGUCUUGAUAUUUGCAAAUGACUAGAAUUUGCGAGAUGGCAUCGAGUUCACCCUUCUCAUUGAGAGAAAACAGACGGAUGGUAUUAUCCCGAGCGGCAAAGACAAUUACAUCCUCAGACGAAUGAGUCAAUUGAAUCUGCCUGGCAGCACAAUCAAGCUGAGCCUUGUGCUUAGAGAGCCAAUCCAUCCCGAGAAUAAGAUCAAUAUCUGAGUUACCAAGAACCAUCGGAGAAGCCAGAAACUUGAAAUCACCCAUUAAGAUAGAAAUAUCCGGAACCAUCAUACUAGAACUCAGACGCUUAGCCGGAGAGACGACUUGCAUAGCUCUAGGUAAUGCCUUAGUACUAAAAUUGUUCUCCGAUGCAAAUGGAAAUGACAUGAAGGAAUGCGAUGCACCAGAGUCAAAAAGUACUUUAGCUGGAAUAUCAUUAACAGGAAGGUUACCCAUGAUGACAUCUGACGAGUCCUCUGCCUGAGCUGCGUUCAUCAAGUCAACCUUGGCGUGCUUGGGGUUAUGCUUGACCACAGCUAUACUUGCCGAUUUGACAGGAGGAGGAGGAGGAAGACGCCUCUGGUUGAGACACUUGUUGGCAUAGUGACCCUUCUGUUGGCACUUGUUGCACGUGACCUCUGAAAGCGGACGGUGAUACGGAGCACUCGAUCUUGGAGCUUGAGACGAAGUCUUGUUGUGAAAGCCAGGGUUGGGUGGGUGGGAAGAUCCACUGCCACCUUUGCUCUUCUGCUGAUACGGCUGACGAAACGGAGGAGGAGGAAGCCAAUACUUCUGCUGCUUGGCCACUUGAGUAGAGGAAGAAGGAGUAGCAUCUCUGACUCGCUUCUUGGAAGCAUCACACCUCAAUUGAGUGGCCUCUUGCUUCAAUGCCAUGUUGUAGAACUCAUCGUACCUCAAGGGCUCAAAGAGAACAAGAGCUAGCAGAAUUUCUUCUCUGAGACCACCCCUGAACUGGUAUAUCAUGAUCUUCUCGUCAGGGACGUCCUGCUUAGCAAAGCGGGCGAGCUUCUGAAACAACUUGUUGUAGUCAUAGACAGACAAAGAGCCUUGCUUCAGGUUGCGGAAUUCCUCACGCUUGCUUUCAACCAUGCUCUGAGGGAUAUGGUGAGCUCUGAAAUCUUGACGGAAUUCAUCCCAAGUGAUAACACGUCCACCUCUGGAAUCCUUGUACUGCUGGAACCACUCUACGGCUUGGUCUUUGAGUUGGAAGGAAGCGAACUUGACGAAGUCCUCAGGCCUGACGUUACUGCACUCGAAAUGCUUGCACAGAUCCACGAGCCAAUCGUCAGCAUCGGUUGCCUCAACACAAUUGCUGAAGUCUUUGGCCCGUUAGCAAGGAACUGGUUGAGUGUAGCAAAGUGAUUCUGAUUGUUGCAUUGGUUCCCUUGAUUGCGCUCUUGGAGAAUUUGCAUGAUCAAAUGUGUGUUUGCAUUGGUUGCGGCCAUCACAGCUUGCCAUGCCUCCGGAGGAGGUGGAGGUGGUGGCGGAUCCUGAUUCUGAUUCUGUUUGGUGCUCUUAGCGGGAGCCAUCCUGAAGAGGUUGACCACUGUUAGCACAUAGACAGAUAAAUGAAGCUGAAUCCAACGGAAUGAAAAUUGCAACAUAAAGUCUUCACAUCCGAACAAAAUGAACGAAUGCAUUCCUCUUGACAUGGUCACAUAUCCAUAAAUUGAGAAGCCACUUAGAAUUUAGGUAGAGAAAUAAAUCAACAAGGUAUGGAUCAGGAACGAAUACUCGGUAAGAAAUCCCAAUCUCAAACCAAAUAUCCGUGGAAGAAGAACUAGAGCUACAAGAAUUCCCACCUAUGAAACUCCCGAACCUUUCCGGUUAUGCAAUUAAGUGUUGGGGAUACAGGGGAAGCAUAAUAUCUCACCCAAAUCUAGCAAAUCCUACAUCCAGCUGUAUCCAUCCUUCAACACAUAACCGAGAAAAACUUCGGAAACCAUCUACCUCAACCUUCGAAAAGCAUCCGUUAUACAAGUUAUGGCGAUACUCCCGAACUCCCGGCCCAGUACUGGGUGGCGUCGAGGUUAUCUCACCAACGAACUGCAUAAAAGAGAUUUUCGAUGUCGGCGUACUAAACUCAGGUAUUCCAGAACUGCAAUGAUAAAAUUAUGACGACAACACCUCAGAGCUCAACUCCCCGGGACACUUCCACAAAACCCCUGACAGGAGGCAGCAAGACAAUGUUCUCAUCAUAAAACCAUCGGAACGAUUCCAAGAUACCCGCGUGAUCCUAAAUUUUUUUUUUGUGGAAUUUGAGAAGAGAAGAGUCAAAACUCUACGUCAGGAUGCCUUACCAGAGCGAUGAGGAGACUGGGAAGUAAAAAGAAUUCCUAAACUCUCCGAUAUAUAAUUCCUAAAUGACUCAAAACAUUUUUCUAGACACAACUCGGCCGCUAAAAACGAUCAAGCAAUGGAGCUCCUAAGGUCGGGGAAGGCUCUGAUUACCAACUUGUAACACCCUCGAUGCGACUAUAUCUCCCACGUGUCGAGGCACGACUUGGAGGCAUAAUCGCAUUGAAGGCAUAUGUCGCAAGUUAGGCAAUCUUCACAACAUCCCAUGUAAUAUAGAUAAUAAAAGGGGAGAUAACAUAGUUGGCUUACACUCGCCACGUCAAUCAAGUACAUAAAUAACAUUACAUCAUUCAGACACUCAUGGCCCGACUACGGCGCCAAAAAUAAAAGAUAACCCAACAUGCGACACGGUCCCGAUCACCCCCAACUGGGCACCCCUACUGAUCAUCAGGAAAGGAAACAUAGUAUCGUUGAGAGUCCUCGUCGAACUCCCACUUGAGCUCGAGCGUGUCACCUGGAGCGGAAUCAUCAGGCCCUGCAUCUGGUGUAAUAGUAAUCUAUGAGCCACAAGGACUCAGCAAUCUCGCACCCUCGCGAUCAAGACUAUUUAAGCUUAAUAGGUAUGGCAAGGUAAAUAUAUGUGGACCUACAGCAAGCGACUAGCAUAUGUGGUGGCUAUCCUGUUCGCAACGAGAGCGAGAAGAGGAGGCAAAGCGCGAGCGAGAAACUAGAGAGCAACCUGCGCAAGCAUUACUCCAACAUCGUGACCACUUCCCGGACUCCGCCGAGAAGAGGCCAUCACGGUAACACACUCAGUUGAUUCAUUUUAAUUAAGUUAAGGUUCAAGUUAUCUACAACCGGACAUUAACAAAUUCCCAUCUGCCCAUAACCGCAGGCACGGCUUUCGAAAGUUCAAAUCCCUGCAGGGGAGUCCCAACUUAGCCCAUGACAAGCUCUCACGGUCAACGAAGGAAUAGACCUCCUCCCGUGACGUUCUGAUCAUACUCGGUAUCUCGGUUCUUCAAGACACUUCGACAGGUUAAAACAAAUCCAGCAACACCGCCCGAAUGUGCCGACAAAUCCCGAUAGGAGCUGCACAUAUCUCGUUCUCAGGGCACACUCAGAUGAGACUAGCUACGGGUAAAACCAACCCUCAAGUUGCCCCGAGGUGGCCCCGCAGGCAGCUCAGUCAGACUAACACUCAGAGGAGCACUGGCCUGGGUGGGUUUAAAUAAGAUGACCCUCGGGCUCCGGAAACCCAAGGGAAAAAAGGCUAGGUGGCAAAUGGUAAAACCAAGGUUGGGCAUUGCUGGAAAAGCUUUAAUCAAGGCGAACUAUCAAGGGGUUACCAUUAUAACCCAACCGCGUAAGGAACGCAAAAUCUGGGAACAUGACACCGAUUUGAUGAAAACUAGGGCGGCAAGAGUGGAACAAAACACUAGGCGAGAGGCCGAGCCUUCCACCCUUUACCAAGUAUAUAGAUGCAUUAAGAUAACACGGCAAUAUAAUGAUAUCCCAACAAUUAAAUAAAUGUUCCAACAAGGAACAGUCUCCAAUCUUCACCUGCAACUAACAACGCUAUAAGAGGGGCUGAGCAAAGCGGUAACAUAGCCAAUCAACGGUUUGCUAGGACAUGGUGGGUUAGAGGUUUGACAUGGCAAUUUGGGAGGCUUUAAAGCAAGUGGUAGGCAUCGUAGCAUUGGCAUAGCAAAAGAGCGAGCAUCUAGCAAAGCAAAGAUAGUAGUGAUUUCGAGGGUAUGGUCAUCUUGCCUGCAAAAUUGUCAGAGUUGACUGGAUCCUCGAAAGCAAACUCAACGGGCUCCUCGUUAGCGAACUCGUCUCCCAGCUCUACCCAAACAAGACAAACAAACAACAAGGACACAAUCAACCACGUGCAAAAGCUCAAACAAUAUGAUGCAAAGAUGGUAUGCUAUGCGGGAUGCGAUGCGGGAUGCAUAUGCAAGAUUUGACAAGGAAUGAAUGAACCUGGCCUCAACUUAGGAAUCCAAGUGUGCCACUGGAAAGGUGAGAUGAAAUCGCUUGAAAACGAUAUAAAGAACGCCGGAAUCGGAGUUACGGUUUGGAAAUGGCAAGCGAUUCAAAUAUGACCCCGUUCUGCGAUUUACAACAAGUAGCCAUCUAAAUGCAAUGAGAUGAACAUGCUACAGCACCCAAACAUGGCAACAAAAUACAUGGAAGGGAUGCAUUCAAUAUGCUUAACAAAACUAUAGCACUGAGCUACGGCCAAAUCAUCCAUUAACAGGUUCAAACAAGCAUGGCAAAAAUGCAUAUGGUAAACAGAUCUCAGACUUAGUGAAAUUAACACUUGUCUGGAAUUUCAGAUCAGGUAGCACACUUCGGAGCAACAAAACUAUAUGCUACAGGACCUGACAUGGCAAAGUAAAGCAUGGCAUAGAGCUACUCAAAGAGCUUAACAAACGUCCCUUAGUGACCUUGAGUCAAAAGGGAUCAGAAAAUACAAUUGUAAGCAUGUGAACAUGGCAAAAACAUUAUCAGAUCUCAGACUUAGUAAAAACUGGAGCAUGCUGAAACAGAUAUCAAGUAGGCAUGUUUACGAGCUCGAUGCACUCACUACAGAGCAAGUCAUGACAAGCUAAGCAUACACCCAUCAAGAAUACACAAAAUGCAAGCUAGACAUGACAAGAACAAUAGCAUAGCAUGCACGGAUCAACUAUAACAUCCUCGGCAAAAUCGCUAACAAGUAGACAAUCUGCCCAGAUUCAUGAAGUAGCAAAAGUAGAGCUUGAUUGACUCAAUCUAGGGUGCUCCAUAAUUUCAAACAAAGACAUGGAUGGAUAGAGCACUACAAGAUUAACAAAACAUCCUUACUGAUCAUCCUCAAAAGAGGCACGGAUCUCUAGGAAACAACAUGAACAUAUGGCCAUAUGAGAUAAACAGCUCAAGGACUUGGUGGAAAUGCUAAGUCCCUGAAAUCAGCAUUACCAAGUGCCUCACUUUGCAAGCUUGUGCUAGUCACCACACACAUCACAAAAAUACAUGGGUUGCACCUCUGGAAAGAUGGCAAAACCCCUAACAAAACAUAUGUAGAACUCAUGGGCAUAUCAUGCACACAAUAAUCAUGGCAAAAAUGACAAAUAUCUAAAUGGAGCAGCAGAUCUGACAAUUAUCUCAAGUAGCACUCUUCUAACAGCAUUUCGGGCAUGAAGAUGAACUCAAAUGAAAAUGAUGCAAUGAGAUGAAAUGAUGUGCUCUCUGAGGCGAACAUUUUGAUAUGCUAUAUGCCCAAAACGGAGCUACGGAUGCAAAGUUACGACACGAUGAACAUGGCAAUAUGAACUAGGGUUUCGGGAGAAAGUCAACCGAGAUUUAAAUCUCAGAUCCAGAUACGGGCUUCACACGAAACGAGGUUCACCGGAACUUCGCCGGAAUCGCCGAGGAACUUUCCGGGGCGCCGGAUCCGGGUGGCGAGGGGCCGGAGCGCUUGCCGGAGUGAGGAGGACGGCGAGGCGCCGGCGGGCGGCGGGGCGAGGCGCGGGCACCGGCGGGUGGNNNNNNNNNNNNNNNNNNNNNNNNNNNNNNNNNNNNNNNNNNNNNNNNNNNNNNNNNNNNNNNNNNNNNNNNNNNNNNNNNNNNNNNNNNNNNNNNNNNNNNNNNNNNNNNNNNNNNNNNNNNNNNNNNNNNNNNNNNNNNNNNNNNNNNNNNNNNNNNNNNNNNNNNNNNNNNNNNNNNNNNNNNNNNNNNNNNNNNNNNNNNNNNNNNNNNNNNNNNNNNNNNNNNNNNNNNNNNNNNNNNNNNNNNNNNNNNNNNNNNNNNNNNNNNNNNNNNNNNNNNNNNNNNNNNNNNNNNNNNNNNNNNNNNNNNNNNNNNNNNNNNNNNNNNNNNNNNNNNNNNNNNNNNNNNNNNNNNNNNNNNNNNNNNNNNGACGUGGCAGGAGCCGGGGGAGAAGAUCCCGGGUGGCGGCGGGCGGCAAUGGGCCUCGGGGGCCCCUCCUGGGCCUCCCGGGCCGGCGACGACGGGGGAGUGGGGCGGCGGCGCGGCCAACCCGCGGGCGACAUGUGGCGGCGGCAGGGCUAGGCGGACAUGUCCGUCGGUGGCUGUUUUUGUCCGGCGGUGGCGGAUGAAAUGGAUCUAGGGUUUCGGGGGAGGAGAAAGAGAAUUUCGGAGGGGGUUCUUUAAAUAGGCAUAGAGGGAGCUAGGAGAGUCCAAAAGAGGUGCGGUUUUCGGCGACGCGAUCGUGAUCGAACGCUCUAGAUGAUGGAGAAGGUUUUGGAGGGUUUUGGUCCAACUUGGAGGGGUGUUGGGCUGCAACACACACGAGGCCUUUUCGGUCCCUCGGUUAACCGUUGGAGUAUCAAACGAAGUCCAAAUGAUACGAAACUUGACAGGCGGUCUACCGGUAGUAAACCAAGGCCGCUUGGCAAUUCUCGGUCCAAUCCAGAAAUGUUUAAUCCCCACACACGAAAGAAAGGUAGAAAUGACCACCGGAGGAGAACGAAGCGCCGAAAUGCAAAACGGACAACGGGGAAAAUGCUCGAAUGCAUGAGAUGCACACGUAUGCAAAUGCAAUGCACAUGAUGACAUGAUAUGAGAUGCAUGAAAACGAAAAAAAAACACGGAGACAAAGACCCGAACUUGAGAAAAUAAAGUAACUUAACGCCGGAAACGGCAAGAGUUGGAAUACAUAUUGGGUAAGUUACAACUGGGGUGUUACACAAACCCCCUGAGGCGAGAUCCUCUACAUCCUCCAGCUGAAUCGUGGAGUGAAUCCAGUCGCUCUGGAUCUAGCCGGGCGGCAGGCCAGACCUCGAGGAAGACCCCCCCUGACUCGUAUUCUUGCCCUUCAGCCUCCCCACCGCUGUCGCCUUCUUGGCGCGCUCCAAAGCCGCCGUCUUGUCCUUCCCCAUCGCUGCAGGCUGCUCACGAGUGGUGCAAAGGUGUCGAGAGCGGUGGAGGACAAGGUGAAGAAACAUAGGAAGGAGAAGGGGAAUGGGAUGCGCUGUGCAAACACACUGGCCGCGGAGCCUUUUAUUCGCCCAUUUCUGAGUGACUGACAUGCGGGCCCGAGAGAUCCUGUCAAAUCCCGCAAUAGCUGCGCACUCGGUACGUGGCAAAAAAGGCGGCGUGGAAAUCGAGGCGCCCCUAUCUAAUUUGUCCUGAUUAUUGCGGCGCUCUCCGUCCUGCGCACUUCCCCAAAUUUCGAAUCCCGUGAGAUUCGGGAAUGGCAGCGCAAUCAGUCACGCCGAAGAUUUCGUUCUACUCCAACACUCGAAGCAUUCUAGGAUAAUUCACUCGACAAAAUUCUGAAUGGAUCAAGGCGAUUGAAAAUAAAGUUGAGGAUCUAGCGUGGUUCACCAACACUGGUACGAUGCCCCCGAAGCAUGAGUACUGAGUCGGAACCAUCUUCAACCUCUUCUACCCUCGGACCUCGAUCCAUUCAGGGGCUAAUGACGAGGACAUGUACCUAGGGUAGGGUAAUAGGCCUGACCUAGACGCCCUCCCCAAGUUCACUACCUUAAGAUCAACGACAUUCAAGGCGCAAUAGUUUUCACCGACUGGAAUCACCUCAGAGUGCAACCCACUCGAUCAAUAAUUCCACUCGGAUAACCCAAUUCCAUUCGACCAGUAUAUCAUCACUCGACCGAACAAGAAACCACUCGGAGUACAGAAGAUCUAAAGUCACUCAGGAUGGCAACGGUAAGGCGUUCACUCUGUAGUGUUAAUGAUCAUCUAUAUGUCUUUAUUGCUGGUGUUACUAGUAAUGUAUCACCUUAGUGUACAUUGAACGCUGUGUAACAUGGGACGGCUGGGGUCCUGGCGCACUCUAUAUAAGCCAGCCCCUCCUCUGGCACAAGGGUUCGCACCCUAUGUAACUUCUAGCAUAAUCCAGUCGACCGCCUCAAGGCACCGAGACGUAGGGCUUUUACUUCCUCCGCGAAGGCCCUGAACUCAUAAAUCUUGUGUGCACAACCUCAUCAUAUCUAGGAUCUUGCCUCCUCCUACGUACCCCCUUUCUACUGUCAGACUUAGAACCACAACACCCGCCACGAGCCUCAACACUCAUCGGAUCGCAUACAUCAGUAUGUAUUAUUUCCAAUAAGUCAGUUGCGCGCUCCAUUGUUCUGGAGAACGGAGUCUUAGUCAUCUUGCCCAUGAGGCAUGGUUCGCAAGCAUCAAGUGAUUUAUAAUCAAGUGAUUCCAAAAGCCCAUCAGCAUGGAGUUUCUUCAUGCACUUUACACCAAUAUGACCUAAACGGCAGUGCCACAAAUAUGGUGUACUAUCAUUAUCAACUUUGCAUCUUUUGGCAGCAAUAUUAUGAAUAUGUGUAUUACUAUGAUCGAGAUUCAGUAAACCAUUCACCUUGGGUGUAUGACCAUAGAAGGUUUUAUUCAUGUAAACAGAAUAACAAUUAUUCUUUGACUUAAAUGAAUAACCGUAUUGCAAUAAACAUGAUCCAAUCAUAUUAUGCUCAACGCAAACACCAAAUAACAUUUAUUUUAGGUUCAACACUAAUCCCGAAUGUAAAGGGAGUGUGCGAUGGCGAUCUUAUCAACCUUGGAAUCAAUUCCAACACACAUCGUCACCUUGCUCUCAACUAGUCUCUGUUUAUUUUGUAACUCCUGUUUCAAGUUACUAAUCAUAGCAACUGAACGAGUAUCAAAUACCCAGGGGCUACUGUGAAUACUAGUAAAGUACACAUCAAUAACAUGUAUAUCAUAUAUACUUUUGUUCACUUUGCCAUCCUUCUUAUCCGCCAAGUAUUUUGGGCAGUUCCGCUUUCAGUGACCAUUUCCUUUGCAGUAGAAGCACUCAGUUUUAGGCUUGGGUCUACCUUUGGCUUCUUCAUGGGAGUGGCAACUUGCUUGUCAUUCUUCUUGAAGUUCCCUUUCUUUCCCUUACCCUUUUACUUGAAACUAGUGGUCUUGUCAACCAUCAACACUGUAUGCUCUUUCUUGAUUUCUACCUUCGCCGAUUUCAGCAUCGCGAAGAGAUUGGGAAUCAUUUUCGUCAUCCCUUACAUAUUAUAGUUCAUCACGAAGUUCUAGUAACUUGGUGAUAGUGACUAGAGAACUUUGUCAAUCACUAUUUUAUCUGGAAGAUUAACUCCCACUUGAUUCAAGUGAUUAUAGUACCACAACAUUUUGAGCACAUGCUCACUAGCUGAGCUAUUCUCCUCCAUCUUGUAGGCAAAGUAUUUGUCAGAGGUCUCAUACCUCUCAACACGGGCAUGACCAAUUCAACUCUUGGAACAUCUUAUAUGCUCCGUGGCGUUCAAAAUAUUUUUGAAGCCCCGUUUCUAAGUCGUAAAGCAUGGUGCACUAAACUAUCAAGUAGUCGUCAUACCGAGCUUGUCAAACAUUCAUAACGUCUGCAUCUGCUCCUGCAAUAGUUGUGUCACCUAGCGGUGCAUCAAGGACAUAAUUCUUCUGUGCAGCAAUGAGGAUAAUCCUCAGAUCAUGGAGCUAGUCUGCAUCAUUGCUACUGACAUCUUUCAACAUAGUUUUCUCUAGGAACAUAUCAUAAAUAAAACGGGGAAGCUACACGCAAGUAAUUGAUCUACAACAUAGAUAUGAAAAUACUAUCAGGACUAAGUUCAAUAAAUCAUAUUACUUAAGAACUACCACUUAGAUAGACAUCCCUCUAAUCAUCUAAGUGGUCAUGUGAUCCAUAUCAACUAAAUCAUGUCCGAUCAUCAUGUGAGAUGGAGUAGUUUUCAAUGGUGAACAUCACUAUGUUGAUCAUAUCGACUAUAUGAUUCACACUCGACCUUUCGGUCUCAGUGUUCCGAGGCCAUAUCUGCAUAUGCUAGGCUCGUCAAGUUUAACCCGGGUAUUCUGCAUGUGCACAACUGGCUUGCACCUGUUGUUGUGAACGUAGAGCUUAUCACACCCGAUCAUCACGUGGUGUCUCGGCACGACGAACUAUAGCAACGGUGCAUACUCAGGGAGAACACUUAUACCUUGAAAUCUAGUGAGAGAUCAUCUUAUAAUGCUACCAUCGUACUAAGCAAAAUAAGAUGCAUAAAGGAUAAACAUCACAUGCAAUCAAUAUAAGUGAUAUGAUAUGGCCAUCAUCAUCUUGUGCCUUUGAUCUCCAUCUCCAAAGCAUCGUCAUGAUCUCCAUCGUAGCAUCGUUGUCGUCUCGCCAACUAUUGCUUCUACGACAAUCGCUACCGCUUAGUGAUAAAGUAAAGCAAUUACAUGGUGAUUGCAUUUCAUACAAUAAAGCGACAACCAUAUGGCUCCUACCAGUUGCCGAUAACUAUGUUACAAAACAUGAUCAUCUCAUACAAUAAUUUAUAUAAUCACGUCUUGACCAUAUCACAACACAACAUGCCCUACAAAAACAAGUUAGACGUCCUCUACUUUGUUGUUGCAAGUUUUACAUGGCUGCUACGGGCUUAGCAAGAACCGUUCUUACCUACGCAUCAAAAACCACAACACGGUAUAGUGAUUGCUUUUUGAUCUUCAAAAAGAACCAUGUUCAUUGAAUCCGAUUCAACUAAAGUUGGAGAAACUGACACCCGCCAGCCACCUGUGUGCAAAGCACGUCAGUAGAACCAGUCUCAUGAACGUGGUCAUGUAAUGUUGGUCUGGGCCGCUUCAUCCAACAAUACCGCCGAAUCAAAGUAAUACGUUGUUGGUAAGCAGCAUGACUAUUAUCGCCCACAACACUUUGUGUUCUACUCGUGCAUAUAACAUCUAUGCAUAGACCUGGCUCAGAUGCCACUGAUGGGGAACGUAGUAUUUCAAAAAAAUUCCUAUGAUCACACAAGAUCUAUCUAGGAGAUGCAUAGCAACGAGAGGGGAGAGUGUGUCUACGUACCCUCGUAGACCGAAAGCGGAAGUGUUAAGUAAUGUGGUUGAUGUAGUCGAACGUCUUCGCGAUCCAACCGAUCAAGUACCGAACGCACGGCACCUCCGCGAUCUGCACACGUUCAGCUCGGUGACGUCCCUAGAACUCUAGAUCCAGUUGAGGCCGAGGGAGAGUUUCGUCAGCACGACGGUGUGGUGAUGGUGAUGAUGAAGUUACCGACGCGGGGCUUCGCCUAAGCACUACGACAAUAUGACCGAGGUGGAAAUCUGUCGAGGGGGGCACCGCACACGGCUAAAACAAUUGUCAACUUGUGUGUUCUAGGGUGCCCCCUUCCCCCGUAUAUAAAGGAGUAAGGGGGAGGCCGGCCGGCCCUAUAGGGAGCGCCCAAGGGGGGCAAUCCUACUCGUAGUAGGAGUUGACCCCCCCCCCCUUCCUAGUCCUACUAGGAGAAGAAGGAAGGAGAGGGGAAGGAGAAGGAAGGAGGGGGCGCCGCCCCUCCCCCUAGUCCAAUUUCGACUAGGCCCAUGGGGGGGUAAGCGGCCAGCCCUUGGCUGCUCCAUCUCUCUCCCUUAAGGCCCAAUAAGGCCCAAAACUUCCCCGGUGGUUCUGAUAACCCUUCCGGCACUCCGAUAAAUACCCGAUACACCUUGGAACCAUUCCGGUGUACGAAUAUAGUCAUCCAAUAUAUCAAUCUUUAUGUCUCAACCAUUUCGAGACUCCUAGUCAUGUCUGCGAUCUCAUCCGAGACUCCGAACUACCUUCGGUACAUCAAAACACAUAAACUCAUAAUACCGAUCGUCAUCGAACAUUAAGCGUGUGGACCCUACGGGUUUGAGAACUAUGUAGAUAUGACCGAGACUCACGGAACCUGGAUGCUCAUAUUGGUUCCUAAAUAUUCUAUGAAGAUCUUUAUCGGUCAAACCGCAUACGUUGUUCCCUUUGUCAUCGGUAUGUUACUUGCCCGAGAUUCGAUCGUCGGUAUCAUCAUACCUAGUUCAAUCUCGUUACCAGCAAGUCACUUUACUCGUUCCAUAAUGCAACAUCCCGUAACUAACUCAUUAGUCACAUUGCUUGCAAGGCUUAUAGUGAUGUGCAUUACCGAGAGGGCCCAGAGAUACCUCUCUGAUACACGGAGUGACAAAUCCUAAUCUCGAUCUAUGCCAACUCAGCAAACACCAUCGGAGACACCUGUAGAGCAUAUUUAUAAUCACUCAAUUGCGUUGUGACGUUUGAUAGCACACAAGGUGUACCUCCGGUAUCCGGGAGUUGCAUAAUCUCAUAGUCAGAGGAACAUGUAUAAGUCAUGAAGAAAGCAAUAGCAAUAAAACUCAACGAUCAUAAUUCUAAGCUAACGGAUGGGUCUUGUCCAACACAUCAUUCUCUAAUGAUGUGAUCCCGUUUAUCAAAUGACAACACAUAAUCAUCUUUGAUUAACGAGCUAGUCAAGUAGAGGCAUACUAGGGACACUCUGUUUUGUCUAUGUAUUCAGACAUGUACUAAGUUUCCGGUUAAUACAAUUCUAGCAUGAAUAAUAAACAUUUAUCAUGAUAUAAGGAAAUAUAAAUAACAACUUUAUUAUUGCAUCUAGGGCAUAUUUCCUUCAGGCCGCGUCAAGCAGGAGAAGGACGACGAGGACAACGGUGAUGGUGGCAACGUCGGCGACUUCGCCACGCUGAGCGAGUUCUUCCUAUAGUCUAGGCCUUUGCUUUUUAGUAAAUUUUAAAUUUGCUAUUCUAAAAUUGUUUUAAGUCGCCGAAGUUUAUGCCCGUUUGCCGAAUAAUAGACGAAUAUCUUUUAAAAAAAGCCUUCUGGGGCGACCCUGGGGCCGGCGCCUGGGAACCCGUUUGGCCCCAAGCCGAUUUUAUCGUCGGGUCGCCCCCAGGCGGCGAUUUUUCGAGCCCCCUGGGGUCCAACGGCUGGAGAUGCUCUAAUGCUUGGUUAGACGAAGCGUCUGGUGACCUUAGGGCAUCUCUUGCAGAUCCCAACUUUAUUCCCCUAUUCUAGCCCCCAUCUCAGGGGGAAAAAAGAGAGAUAUUUUAGGCAUUAAACUUUUGUUUCAUCUAGCAGAUCCUUCAAAGUUUAAUCCCCAAAAAACUUGAUCACAAUUUUUUGCACACAAAUUUAAACUAGUUAAUUGCAUAACUAGGCACUACAUACGGCGUCCAUUGCUGCCUACUACAUUAGCCGUUGGUACCACAUUAACAUCGUACAUAACAUAAUUAAGUCUGUUGCCUACUGCAUUAACACUACAUCGACAUCGAACUAGUUUAAGCAUGUUCUAUGUUGAUGUCAUUGCCUACUAUAUUAACACUACAUCAACAUUGAACAAAUUUAAACUAGUUCAUCGCCUGAUCCUAACGGCAGGAGGGGCGAGAUCGCCUACGGUUGCCGCAUCGGCAGGGAAGUUUCGCUUCGCCAACGGCCCGAAUAAGAGGAGUGCAGGCGUCAUAGGCGUGCGACGCCUCCUCCGCGGUGUCAAAUAUGCAAAGCCAAACAUGUUUCGCGUCGGCGUUGUGGAUAUCCCACUGCAAACUUGUCCCCAUGACCGGUGAUGGACGUCGUGAUACUUCAUUGGCGACAACAGCUGCGACGACGGAGGUCGGGGAGACGCCGCGGGGGCUCGGAGCUAUGACAGGGAGGUGAAAAUGGAGCUCGGGGAGGUGGCAGUGGCGAAGAAGAUGGCGCACAACCGAGAGGGAGGCGGCGAUGGAGCUUGGGGAGGCGACAGUGAUUGAUUCUAGGAAGACGACUCGGGGUAAGGAGGGCCGCGGGGCGAGGAGGGCGAUCGCGGCCCGCGCGCGAACCAUUUGCUGGGCUGGGAGGCGGUGCUGGGGCUCGGGAGGCGGAGGUGCUCAAUCGUCGGCCGUGAUCCUUGAGCUCGAGGAAGGAGGUGGCGACAACCUGAUAUCAUGGAACGAAAUGCCUGAAUCGGGAGUGUCAAUGGCGACAAUGGAUGCGCGGCGGGGUUGGAUAGAGUUUGGGGCGGCAGUGGCGAGUUUUAUAGCCGGAGCGAAGCGGAUCGAUCGGCACCUCGGUCGCCACGCCAUGAAGGAAGUAUCCCCAUUUUAGUGCCUACUUCUAGAGCAAAAAUAGGGUAGAGCUAUAAAGUUUAGGGACAUGGAUUUUUCCUAACUAGUUGUGGGCACAACCUGAAUCUUGACCGCAGAUCAAGCAUGAUGUCCAAUCGACAUGGCCCACCUAGCUGUCAGGUCUGCAUGCCCCAUCCCUGUAUACGAGCCAUGUGACCAAUUUCAACAGAUGGUAUAGUGAACCGUAUUCCACCAGACUAGGUUGUAGGUGGGACCCACCCUAUAGAUUCUUUUUCCCCUAGAUCACGCAUGCCUUCCUUUCCCUCCAGUCUACCGAUUACAAAUGUUGACUCGACUAGGAUUUGUAAUUGCACCAGAUUUCUUUUUAACGUGUGCUUAAUUAAUUAUUAAUGUAUAAAACUCCCGUGGAAGAUGCCAAAGUUCUUUUUAACACGUGUUUAAUUAAUUAUUAAUUAUUAAUACCUAAGUGCAUUUAUCUUCUAAAAAUGUAUCCUUCUUGGUAAAUCUCUGGACAUACAAAGCUCUGGACGCGUCCUCGCUAAAGUUUGACGCUAGCAUGCAGAAUUUCUGGUGGUACUGCUCACAAAUGUGGGGCUCACUCGUCCACCCUCCACCACAAGCUCCUUCCCUGAGAUUCUUUAUGACUGUAAGGAUAUUGUACCAAAUAAAUUGACAAGUUCUGUGUUGAACAGCAGGAAAGUUCUUUAUAUUGAUCUUUAAUUUUUUUGCGAGGGAUUCUCCAUAUUGAUAUAGGCCCAUCCUUUAGAGCUCAUUUGGUUGCGUGGGUUCCCCCCGGGAUCCCACGUUUUUCCAGGGCCCGAAAUCCACAUGGAGACCCUCGCCUGGGAAAACAGCCUCCUCAUUUGGACGACCCGUUCGAUGUGGUGUGCCUGCCCGAACCCUGCCCUUUCCCCGGGAAAAGGUCCCACACCUCCACACUCGUGGAAAAUCCUCUCGUCGUUUCCCUCGCGCGAUCUGAUCUCCGUUGCCUCGCUCUCCCUCCCUCGCCUGUGCCUUCCAACCCUCUCUUCCCCUCCCUUGUACCAACAAAUGAGGAGAAGAUCUCUCCCAUGAAAAGGAAGGGAAUUACAUGUGCUCCUGAAGUUCCCCCGAAGGGAUGUAGUACCCUGGGCGUUCUUCCCUGAGUCACCAAACAAAGCCUUAGCGGGAAAUAGCCAAUGGACCUCGGGUGCCAUUGCACCCGAAUUAAUAAAAAGUUUAAAAAUAUUUAAAGAGUCAAAAAAUAUGAAUCUGUUUUGUAACAAAUCUGACUUAGUGUAAUACUAGCGCGACGUGUUAUUCUCGACGGGAACAAACAUAAUUGUACUACAUAAAAGUUACUAUUCUCAUUUUUUGAACUUGCGAUUUUGUCUUCUCUUUUUUGCUGAAGAAACCACGAGAAUCAUUCUUUCGUGAAACUUUUUACACGAGUAAUACAUUAGGCCAUGUUUGCUACAAAAAUAAUUCAGAAAGUUUUAAGUCUCUUUUUUCUAAAAGUGUUUUUCCAAUUCGGGUGCCUAUGUUGUACCGCGUCACAAGCUUGUAGCAGCACUGUGCACUUCAAGCUAAAUUCUCCACCCCCCUUGUAUCUCCCACUCGCCAGUACUCGUGCAAACACAGUCAGCUAGGCCCUUGCUUUUCCAUUGUGAAUUUAUAUCUCGUUCAAUAGUCCAAAAGAUUCAAAAGACGCCUCGUCACUCGAGUUAAAAUAUGUUGCUCAAUGCAGAUCAUCGUUUUCUCAUAUACAAUUUAAGUGCAUUAAUAUGACAAUAUCACAACCUAAAUGGUCGGUCAGAGUAUAUUUAAUCUCAGAUGAUAUGAAUGCCAUAGGAGUAGUUAUAUGGCCGGUCAGAGUGUGUGAAAGUUGAUACUAGGCGUUGAGUGAAAAAGGCCCGCUAUCGGGUACAUAUGACUAUUAUCUCUAAAGCUCUUCAUAGUCGAUCAUAAGAAGACCGCAAUCAAGGAUAAAAAGUGUGCAUCGGCGAUUAUAUGGGAUGUAGCAUCUAGUGAUGACAGUAUCACAAUAAAUGUGGUGUUGGUUUUCCAGAGAUCCCGAAUGAAAAAACUUACCGAUCGAUACAACAGUAACGUUCUUCAUGAUUGACUGUAAUAGGUCCGCCUACGGGUACAUAUGGUUUCUAUCUCUAAAGUUCUUUGCGGUCGACCAUAAGAGAACCGAUAUCCAAAGGUGUUGGUUUCCCAAGAUCCCCAAUGAAAAAACUUAUUGAUUGAUAAAAUAGGAUUACACUUCUUCUUGGUCGAGUGCAAGAGGCCGCCUUUGGAUACAUAUGGCUGCUAUCUCGAAAGUUCUUCGCGAUUGAUCAUAAGAGGACCGCAAUCAAGGAUAAUAAGUGUGCAUCGGCGAUUAUAUGAGACGUAGCAUCUAGUGAUGACAAUAUCACAUUAAUUGCGAGGUUGGUUUUCCAAAGAUUCCGAACGAAAAAACAUACCAAUCGAUAUACAACAUUAAAGUUCUUCAUGGUUGAAUGCAACAGACCCGCCUAUGGCUACUAUCUUUAAAGUCCUUUGCGGUCGACCAUAAGAGGACUGGGACCGAGGAUAUAAAGUGCGCAUCGAUGGUUAUAUUGGAUGUAGUGUCUAGUGAUGACAAUAUCACAAUAAUUAAGGCGUUGGUUUCCCAAGAUCUCCAAUGGAAAAACUUACCGACCGAUAUAUAACAUUAAACCUCUUCUUGGUUGAGUGCAAGAGGCCACCUUCGGGUACAUGUUGCUGCUAUCUCUAAAGUUCUUCGCGGUCGGCUAUAAGAGGACUGCAAUCGAGGAUAUAAAGUGCACAUUAAUGAUUAUAUGGGGCGUAACGUCUAGUGAAGGAUUUGGAUUCCUCUCCAUCUUGGCUUGAGGAAGGAGAAUCGCUGAAAUCCGGAGGAAUGCACCAGCCGUCGUCCUCCUUCUCUAGCUAUCCCAGAUCUGGGGCGUCCUCAGGGGAAGUUGGCUGGGAACAGAAGCUGCUCAUGGACACGCCAAGAUUGAGAUUGAAGGAUUUGACGGAGAAGACGAUGAAAGAAAAAGAGUAGCUUAUGAGAGGAGAAACCUGAACAGGGGAUCUGUGAAUGACUCCGCACCAAGAUUCAUUGGUCAAUCGUUAAGAAACCUGUAGAUCCGGGCGUGGUCGCGCGGGGACGGGAAGCGUGGUGGUUCUCGGCGAUGCUGGUGCGUCUGCACGAUUGGAUUCAAAUUUUGAAUUGUGUCCAGGUCAGGCGGAUGGGUCACAGGGUAUAUGGGACAGGCCCCGCAGGCAAGUACGAGCUAAUUGUGGGCGUAGGUAUAGGUCGCUACAUACGAUUUGACUGUAUUCAUUCCAUAUAGCAUUAGCAAAACUGGAAACGCUUUAUUCCGGUGGGCUAUGUCGGGGCAGGCUCGCGCUGAUCCACAUGCAACAGCGACGGCAACGAUUCGCGUUGCGCACGCAGGCAGUUAGGAAUAGCCAUAUUCGAAAGUUUAGGAGUUCAAAAGUAAUUUUUGUGAGACACUGAACUUUUUAGGGGAUAUGCUAGAUGGGGUUUAAUUAAAAAAUCCUUAAAAUAACUUUCGGAAAUCAUAGGGGUGCUUCUAUUUCAUAUCUGGUCAUUAUGUAACAACUAUUAAGGAAUAUCCAAAGUUGAUCUACAAAUUCCCUUGCGCAUCCGUCUGUGGGCAGAUGGGACCAGUCCACGGAUACGAAUGCGGGAGCCGGCUAUCCAACGUUAUCCGCAUACAUUUCAUGUCGGGUUUUAGCAAACUGGAAAAAAUUCAUCAAACUCGACGGAAUUCAUCAAAAUUUAGAUAGAAAAUAGCACAAAUUGUGCAUACAUAGCAUGCAAAUAAGCCUAGUAAAACAAUAGUUCAAAUUCAAGGAGAUUAACUGGAUGUUCAAUAAGUUUUUCAUGAACGGGUCAUGUUGUCCCACACAUACUGCCCUUCCGGCUACAUUCAAUAGUGUAUGUACGUAAAUGGCCGUCCCUCCAUCCUGUGGUACAUCGCGACAGCGUGUACGAGCUACGCAAUGUGUAGAGCAACAUUGAGUGAAUGAAUGAUUCAAUCAAAAAGUUGAGCGAGAAGAAGAAAAACUCAUGAUCUCCUCCGCUGCCGCGCGCAAUGGCCACCUUGCCUUCAGCCAAACAACUGCAUCACAAACUUGGUGAUGGUGUCUGGAUGGCAUACCAUCGAUACGAUAACGACUUCACGUUGCGUUGUUGGAUGAUGUGCAUCUCAUAGGGUGCAGUGUGCUUUUGUGCACGAAAUGAAUCAUGCACGCACUCCCAGAAUAGCCCCCUUCUGCUCUUGCCUACGCAGUCCACUAAUACAGCCAACCACGCAUCGCACAACAACUCAUCCUUUAUGAUCGAGUACCCCGCCAUCCUUCAUACUCUAGAAAACAACAUGGCAUUUGAAAAAAAAAACUCAACUGCAUUUGAGCGAACACCUACCGGGCAUGGGGUCCGCCAUGGACGUCGUUGGCAGGGGCGGAGUGUACCUGGCUACGGACGAGUCCAGGGUGGACGGCACUAUCGUAAAAGGCGAGCGGGUGCGCCGGUGCUGGUUGUGGAGGUCCAGCAAUGUCUGUGUGGCGGACGAAGAGGUACAGCGGCAGCGGCGAAGAAGGAGGGUGCGGAUGCAAAGCACGGGGGAGAAGGACGGAUUGAAAGACAGAAGGACCGGGAGGGGAGAUUUAGUGAGCCGGGGGUGUCGGAAUCCUACGCGGCUCCUGUCCGGACUACCGCAACCCCCCACCCCUAAAUGCUUCUAUUUUUGGAUAAAAUAUGCGUCAGGACCGAUCGACAGACCGAUACAAACCUGUGUUGAAUGACAAAACACUGGACUACGUAGUCUGGAUUUAUACGGGCGGUUUAAGGGUAAGGGUGUUGGAGAUGCCCUUACUAUUUAUUCAUUAAAGAGGGGAGGGUUUUAAUGUAGAAAAAGACGUUCCUCGUGACAAAAGUUUCCCGUUGCGUAGUACACUCCACAGAUUUCUGCAUGUCAUGAAUUUGAUCAGCGACGGUGUCAACUAAUGAAUUGGUCGUCCUGUGUCCCAGGGAUGCGUUGCGUUUGUCUUUGAGCGGCGUGUGAGUGAGGGCGCGAAAUCAAGUUGAUCAACUUGCGACGCAACGGGUCGAUAAUGGCACUGAAAGAAGCGACACGCAGUACUCAUAAAUUAAUGAGUGGGUGCAUGUGCAUGCAUGCAAGGAGAAAAGUUUGAGGGCAAUUUAAUUGAUUGGACAGUCGGAAUAUUCGCCAGGUUUUGUACUGCAAGUUGAUAAUUAAUUGCGCAGCCGACUAUAUGAAAUUGCCGUGUCAAUCAUAAGACGUAGCCAACUUAAUAAUCCAUUUGUACAAUAAUUAGUCAUUACAACUCAACAUAUGCAGUGUUGAUUGGAAAUUGAUGCAACAUUCUCCCGUUUCAUUUGUACCAUCGUACAAAAAUCGAAUUUGACGUGUCUUAUAGGCAGUCUAUAUCACCCUAUCAUACUUGCUUUAUGGAGAUAUACUUCACAAUUAAUUACAUGAAAAACAAACCGCUGCGCCAUGCUGUCUGCCAUGUAAAAGUUGCACUCUCAAUGAACGGAGAGCAAAUUAAGGUUCUACUAACGCUACUAGAUUUGACCCGAAAAAAACACUACUACUAGAUUUGUCAAGGACAAUAUUUAAUCGUGUACUUCAUUCGUUUUUAUUUACUCUGAAUAUUACCUCUGUCUUGAGUUAAACUUAGGUCUUCUGCAAAAACAAAGGUUAAACUUAGGUAAUGUUUAUAUAAAACAAAUUGUGAGAAUUUUUUGAAAACAUGAACACUUUUUGAAAUCGGAAACUCUUUUUGAAAUUAUGAACAUUUAUCGAAUUCCUGGACAUUUUUUACAAAAUCAUGAACAAUUUAUGGAAUCAUGAAUAUUUUUUACAAUUCGCUAUUUUUUGAAUCCCUGAACAUUUUUGGAAAUUUUAGAACAAUAUUUGAAAUUCAAAAAUAUUGGUUUUUUGUUUUCACAAACAUUUUUUGAAUCCAUUAAAAAAAUUUUUGAAUCAGCGGAUAUUUUUUGAAUCAGUAAAUUUUAUAUAUUUGUUUGGGAACAAUUUUGAAAUUUGUGAACUUUUUAAAAAAAUCAUGGACAAUUUUCGGAUUUAUGAAUAUUUUAUGGAAUUCCAAACAUUUUUUGAAUUCAUGAACAAUUUUUAAAAGUAAUAACUUUUUUGAAAAUCCCGAUCUUUUUUAAAAUUUGAGAUAAAAGUACAGGGGCGCGUGCGCACAUGGGCUGGCCCAGAUCGAGCACUGAGUAGGAGGUAGGGGAGCGCGCAUUCGCUGAGUAUCCAACGUGCAGGUCGCUGAAUAGGGGCACCGGCAGGGACGCGUAGUAUGUACUCCCGGGCUCAAAUGCUAUCUAAUGAACAGUAUAAUCGGAAAUUUAUUGGGUACAAAUUUUCAAAAAUAUUUUGUGUGCUUGCAAAAAAUUAUCAUAAAAUGGCAUUUCAAGUUGUGGUAAAAAAAAAAACCGAUGCUCCAAAAAUGAUAUAUUCAAAAGCAAUUUUGGAGUGCUGAUUUUGUUUCUUUUGCCAUGACUUCCACAAAUGUUGUUUCAAGAUGAAAAUUUUCAAGCACGGAGAACAUUUGUCAGAGUUUGCACCCAAAAAAGUUCAGAACUUUCUGGAAAAAAAAUCAUUUUUCAGAUUUACUGUUCAUCCCAAGCUCAUAUGAUAUGAAUUUGGGAGUAGAAAGGGACUUUCGCACCCACAAGGUACUUAGCCUGCCCAUGCUUCCUAUUCCUUAUUCCUACAGCAGCAGCCUGACAAAUCCGUUGUGUCCAUAGUUCGUUCUACUGUGGCGAUCUCCAGACAGAGAUCCCCUGUAAACAUCCUUGUGAACAUCUCACUCAGAACGUGACGUCUCAUACAACCUACCAAACACAUAUUCUAUCUGGCCAGUCCCACAACACAAAAGCAACCAAACACAUAUCUCAGUCUACCAUUGCAUUAGCCCAGCCAGGCCACACUCAGCCAGCAUGCUAGAUGCGAUGCAGCCAAAUGUGACCCAGGCAUCAAAACACCCCUAAAUGAUUUAAGUACUCUGACGCACAGCGGACGCACAUCAUCAGUCCGAGGACAUCAACCAAACACACGUAGCCUCGCCAGGCAAUAUUUUCAAUCUUCUCGGGCUCAAUCCAGGCAGUCCAUUUCUCCAGGCACGGUGUUCAGGUAUCCAACCAAACAGGUCCUACAAGCGAGAUAUAUACACCUCUCCAACAUGCGGUAGCGUAUCCCCAUAUUCAGAUGUACAAUCCAUUUUAUUCCUCUACUCAUCAAAUGGUAAAAAAAAAUCUAUACGGCUACCAGAUCUCCACCUGCACCUAGCUACAUUAUUACAGAAACACACUGUUCCACCACGUAACCCAGCCAAAGAGACGGAAGAUGG
RNAcentral lists this long non-coding RNA (44817 nucleotides) under Triticum aestivum (bread wheat). RNAcentral's name for it is "long non-coding RNA (TAES_LNC009946)". Lineage: Eukaryota; Viridiplantae; Streptophyta; Magnoliopsida; Poales; Poaceae. The record is from RNAcentral.